AAAAUAAUCACAUAUAUGAUAUACAAGGUUUUAAUAUGGUUUGAUCAAUCAUGCUUACGUCCAUGGAUGAGAGAGAAUGAUUCUACUAUACAAUAGAGAAUAUCACAAAGAAUAAAACCAAAUAUAUCCAUUGGGUUUCCGAAACAUCUCAUGAGCUAUCUACCUCCCAUUCUUUCUCACAUAUCUAUCCACCUCGUAUGAGUUCAUUUUCAUUUCAUAACUUUUUCCUUUCAUGACCUAUAAUAUUUAUAGAAAUAUUUAUAAUAACCUUAUUUAUUAUAUAAGAAAAUAUUAUAAUAAUAUAUUAGAAAUAUUCUAAUAAUAUUCUUUACAAAAAAAUCUAUACUAAUUUGGGAACACUUCCUAACAACUUGUGAUUGGUAGACCCUUACUAGCAUUUUUGGAUUGAUGCUGCCUCAUUUUUCUUGGAUCCUAACCUUCAGAUCAUCCUUGAAUCGAUUCAUAUUUUUCUCGGAUGAUCCAUCAGGUUUCAAUGCAUUUUCCAGAGUCUGCUUCACUGCAUCCAUCCUUUCCCAAAGCUCAUCUCCUGAUUUUCCCCCCAUCAGAUGGUUGAUUUUCUCGGAAACCUCCCCCCUAGCGAUUGACUCCCCGUCGCUUAUAUUAAUCCCGACCUUCCAGUCAUCCACUACCAGCUUUCUAUUAGUGAAUUGAUCAGUCAAAAGAGGGAAGCACAGCAGGGGAACUUUGCACCAGAUGCUUUCCAGAAUCGAGUUCCAACCACAGUGGGUGAGGAACCCACCAACCGCCGGAUGCGCCAACACUGCAAUUUGACAGCACCAGGGUAUGAUGAUAGAACGGCCGCGAACCUCCUCCUUUAGUUCAUUAGGGAGGAGAUCAGGAUCAUCAGAACUCACAAUAUCAGGCCUAAGCACCCAAACAAAGUUGAUUUUGCUGAGCAUGAGACCAUUAGCAAUCUCCAUCAGGUCCCUCUUACUAAUAUGAGCGUAGCUGCCAAAUGAAACAUACAAAACCGAGCCUUUAGGCUUAGCAUCCAGCCAAUGGGUGCAGUCAGACUCUGCCCACAGGCUGGUGGCCACAAUGCUCUUGGUGAACCCAGGUGGAAAUAUUGGCCCUACAGCGUAGAGUUUCUUCUUGGCCUGGAGUGCUGAUAUGGUAUGAAGCUCAAGCUCCUCCACUGUGUUGCAUAGAACAAAAUCGGCGCCCUUGGCAUCCUGGAAGGCGGUGGAGAUUAUCUGGUGACAAACCGUAGAUGUAUCAGUGGCUUGAAGAUAGGAAGUCAUGUCCCUUGGAUGGAUUGCUUCAACCCCUGGUAUGUAAUCUAUCACGUCCUUACGAGUUUCUGAUCAUAAAAUUUGAAUCUUAUUUAGUUCUGCCAGACUAAAAAUAAGCACGAAUUGAUAAUAAAAAGCGUGAUUUGAAUCUUACCACUGCAAUCGAAGUGACCAUGUUUUCUGAGAAGAUCCAUAUGAUAAUACAGUGUAAAAACCAAAGCAGGCUCCGUCCAAAAUGAAACAUACAAAAGCCCGAACUUCUUCGCCAACGCCGACGGCCACACGAAGAACGUAUCAGCGAUCAAGCAGCUCACAGGCGGCGCCGCCUCCGCCACCACCCUCUCCACCAACUCCUCCACGUGCGCCGAUAACACAUGCAACAACGCCGCCAUGAACUGGUCGUGGUUCAGCGACCUGUCGAACCCCACCGGAAGCCCAUCGGAAACCGUCGUGUACCGAAUGUCCAGACCCGCCUCCCGAGAUCCGGAGAAGAUGUCAUCGCUUCCGGCGCCUUGGGCUCUGGAGGUUUGUUGGUGGAUGGAGAGGGUGUUAACGAAGGUGAUGGUGAAGCCUCUGGAGGCGAGGUUGAUGGCCAGAUGGACGGCGGGGAUUACGUGGCCUUGGAGAGGGUAGGCUACGAGGAUGGCAUGGGGGUUUUGAUGGGUGGACGCCAUUGUUGUGAGCUUUGAGUUGCAGAGGGAGAAGACUCGGGGCGGUUUUAUGUAGAGCUCAGAAUUUGAGUUGACCAGGAAAAGGCCAUAUGAAAGCGAGUCUCUUUCAUGGGUGUGUUUUUUUUUUUUUCCUUUUUUAGUUAAUUAAUAUUGGCCAAGACUUGCCUCUUUCACCUACAUGACUAGACAACAAUGGCCUUAAUUAAAAAUUGUCUCAAUUCCCCGGUAAGUAUCCAUUCCUUCGGAGUCAAAGGAAAGGGAGCUAGUCUUCCCUUUCCUUGGGAAUCUAAUUACCUAAUUAAUUAGAACAUGUCUACUGAUCAUAAUGUGAUAGUAGAGUAGUCUAUUGCAAAGAUGACUCGUGAGCACGUUGCAAAUUAACGUGUAGUGCGGGAGGUUUGGGAAAGAGGACAAGUACCUGAAGUUGUAUAGAAUGGGAAUGGAUAACUACAAAACUUGAUGUGAGCAACUGAAACUGUACACCUGGGGAGAGGGAGCCGGCCAUUCAGAGAAAUAGGAGGAAGGAGAGGACAAUCACAACAUCAGUUUGAUCAAAUUCUUAUAGAUGAGUAGUCUCCAAGAUGAGGUCAUAGCUUCCCAGGCCCUACCCAGGUUGCCAAGCGGCCGACAGUGGCAUGGUUUUGUGUCUUUCUCUUUCACUCCUCCCAAACAAGUUUGUAAAGGAUUUUGGCAUGUAACCUAAUAGGUAUAAAAAAGAUUCAGAUGGUAGGAAAGUUAUCCAAAAUGGAUGGUUCUUUUCACUGAUAACAAUCACCUCUUCUUACCAGUCAUGGCCAGGAAUUAAUAACCCAAAGCAUAUGCAUGGGAGUGGAUGUGAUGGUCGAAGAAUCCUCAUGGUGGUAAUUUGUGGCUCCCAUGAAGGUCCUCUGUUGAAAUUCAAAUAAAUUUACAAGGUUUGUUUCAUUCAUUUUCAUUUUGACUAAAUAUACUUAAUGUUUGAAAUUUCAUCAAAUGUCUCUUUUAUUAUUUUCAUGAUAAAAGACGUAUUAGAUAACAUCUCGAAUGGAUGAAAUUUAGACGUAUAUAACCAAAAUCUUAAAGGGAUAUGAAUGAAAUCAACUCUAAAUUUUCCCCACCUAUACAACAUCGAUGUUGGAAACCCAAUAAAAUUUGGUUUAUAAAAGGUCCUCUUUGAUUUACAUAUGAGAAAUUUGGAUUAAUUUUAUUAAAAUAUAUAGCUUUUAAUAAAUAAAAAUAUAGUUUAAUAUUAAGAUUAGAAAAAUGAUAUUUAAUAUUUUCACAUGUAAGAUAUCAAACUUCCAUAUAUUUAAUGAAAAUUUUAUAUUAUUGGUAUUACUUUUUAAAAAAUUUUAAACUUCCACAAAAAACAAUUUGACAACCAAAAACUGUGUUUGAAAAAGAAUAUUUUCAGAGAAAAUCUUUUAGUUGUUUUGAAAAAUAAAUAAAUUGGUAUGACACAUUUAAUUACAUAAUUUAUUAAUUAUAAAUAUUUUAUAAGGUGAAUUGAUAUUAAUAAGCUAUGUCAAAUAGAAUAAAUAAAAUAAAAUAGGGUGUUUAUGGAAUAAAAUAGGCUACGUGUUUUUCAUUACUUAAAUGUACCUUAAUGAUCUUAAUUUUAACUAAAUGCAAACCCAUGUGACUUUUGUGUCAUUGUGAACUUAAUAGAUGACCAUGCUCAAGAAAGGUAUAGACAAAAAAAAUUAUUAUUUUAAUUAUUUUCAAAUAUCAUUUUUUCUUUAGUAUGAUUUUAAAUAAAAAAAUGUGAUAAAAUAAAAUAACAAAAGGCAAUGUAUAAUUUUCAAAUUAUGUAAUAUAUUUGAAAAAAUUAUAUCAUUUUCAAUAAUAUGAUAUUAUUCCAUUAAUAAAUCUCUCUUCUAUUGAAAAUUAAAAUGUUAGUGGAAAAAAUAGAAUAUAAUUUUAUUAAUACAUAUUCUUUUUAUAACUAUUGGGUGUCAUGUAUGUUGCAUGUAAGAUGCACAUAAGUAAUGUAUAUUAGUGUGUAGGAUUUGAGUUUAUGUAUUUAAUCAUAUUACUUUGUCUUUAUUAUAUUUGUUUACAUUAUAAUUUAUUAAUAUGUAGAAAUAACUCUAUUACUUUGAAGUCAGAUUAAUUAUUUCUUUGAAUCUAGAUGAAUUUAGAUAAAACCUAAAAGAGUCUAAAUGAAGUAUUUAAUCUAGUUCUAAAUUUUUGAAUAAAAUAGUUAUGAAAGGAAAACAUAGGGGAUAAGAGGUUACUUAGCUGAAAAACAAAAAUAUUAAAAUUAAUUAAAUUAUUAUCUCCAUUUCCUUUCGUACUAAUGUCAACAUUGAUAUAUCAAUUUACCUUCUUUUUUUUUCAUUUUCUCAAGCCAUCCAUUGAUCAACCUCUUUUCCUGUUCUACCCAUUUUUCGAGUUUUUUUUGCCAUUGUUAUUAGUUUGUCGCCUUUCAAAAGCUUUUUCUUGGCAUCAUUCUCCAUCUUUGUGGCCAUCUUGGCCUGCUUUUCGGUUUCCACUAGUUUGGCAUGCUAGAUUUUAAUUUAGUCAUUUCUUCCAUCUUCAAUAAAAACUUUUUGGCAUUUUAAGACUACUUUGUAAAACUUAGAGAAACUACUAUUUUGAGAAGUAUUAUCAAAACAAUCUUCUUUUAUAAAAAAAAUAAAAUGCUAGUAGAAAAAAUAGAAUAUAAUUUCAUUACUAAAAAAAAACAGAUUAUUAAAUUAAUGGGAUUAUUUUUUUGUAUAUAGUAAAUUCNNNNNNNNNNNNNNNNNNNNNNNNNNNNNNNNNNNNNNNNNNNNNNNNNNNNNNNNNNNNNNNNNNNNNNNNNNNNNNNNNNNNNNNNNNNNNNNNNNNNAAGAUUUACUAUAUUUUUCUUGUAAUUGUUUGAGAUUUGAUACUUUGGGUUGUGUUUGUUUAAGAUUUGCUACUUCAUAUUGUAUUUGUAUAUAAUUGCUUCUUGUGUGGUUGUUAUAUCUCCCUUUUAUAACUAGUGGGUGUUAAGUAUGUUGCACAUAAGGUGCAUAUAAGUGAUAGAACAUAUUCUCUAAUGGUAUGAUUCAACAACUUAUUCAACUGACGCACUUGAGGGUUGAAGAAUGCCAUCGAAUUGAAGAUAUUAUCAAGGAAUCUGAGAAUACACAACUAGAAAACCAAGCACAUCCAAAGUUGGAGACCCUUGAACACAUUCAUUUGCCACAACUAACAAGCAUUUGGGCUAAAGAUUCAUUAAAGUGACCAUCUUUAUAAGAAGUUGAGAUAUCUAAGUGUUUCUUGUUGAAGAGUUUACCUUUCAACACGGUCAAUGCAACCAAAUUGAGAUCCAUUGAAGGACAACAAUUAUGGUGGAAAGCACUAGAAUGGAAAGAUGAUGCCAUUAAACAAAGGUUACAACCUCUUUGCAUCAUCAACUAGCUCAUUUGAUUUCAUCUCCAAUGCGUUUUAUUGUAAAGCGAAUCAGGAUAGUUGCUGUUGCUGAGACAAAGUAAGUUUGUGUGCAGGAUUCAAAAACUUUGGCUGCACUUGCUUGAGAUUUACUAUAUUUUUCUUGUAAUUGUUUGAGAUUUGAUACUUUGGGUUGUGUUUGUUUAAGAUUUGCUACUUCAUAUUGUAUUUGUAUAAAAUUGCUUCUUGUGUGGUUGUUAUAUCUCCCUUUUAUAACUAGUGGGUGUUAAGUAUGUUACACAUAAGGUGCACAUAAGUGAUAGAAGAUAUUCUCUAAUGGUAUGAUUCAACAACUUAUUCAACUGACGCACUUGAGGGUUGAAGAAUGCCAUCGACUUGAAAAGAUUAUCAUGGAAUCUGAGAAUACACAACUAGAAAACCAAGCACUUCAAAAGUUGGAGACCUAUAACUCAUUCAUCUCCCAUAACUAACAAGCAUUUGGGCUAAAGAUACAUUAAAGUGGCCAUUUUUACAAGAAGUUGAGAUAUAUAAGUGUUUCUUAUUAAAGAGUUUACCUUUCAACACGGUCAAUGCAACCAAAUUGAGAUCCAUUGAAGGACAACAAUUAUGGCGGGAAGCAAUAGAAUGGAAAGAUGACGCCAUUAAACAAAUAUUACAGCCUCUUUGCAUCCUAAACUAGCUCCUUUGAUUUCAUCUCCUAUGUGUUUUAUUGUAAAGCGAAUCAGGAUAGUUGCUGCUGCUGAGACAAAGUAAGUUUGUGUGCAGGAUUCAAAAACUCUGGCUUGCACUUGCUCGAGAUUUACUAUCUUUUUCUUGUAAUUGUUUGAGAUUCGAUACUUUGGGUUGUGUUUGUUUAAGAUUUGCUACUUCAUAUUGUAUUUGUGUAUGAUUGCUUCUUGUGUGGCUGUUAUAUCUCCCUUUUAUAACUACUGGGUGUUAAGUAUGUUGCACAUAAGGUGCACAUAAGUGAUGGAAGAUAUUCUCUAAUGGUAUGAUUCAACAACUUAUUUAACUGACGCACUUGAGGGUUGAAGAAUGCCAUCGAAUUGAAGAGAUUAUCAUGGAAUCUGAGAAUACACAACUAGAAAACCAAGCACUUCCAAAGUUGGAGACCCUAGAACUCAUUCAUCUGCUACAACUAACAAGCAUUUGGGUUGAAGAUUUAUUAAAGUGGUCAUCUUUACAAGAAGUUGAGAUAUCUAAUUGUUUGUUGUUGAAGAGUUUACUAUUCAACACGGUCAAUGCAACCAAAUUGAAAUCCAUUGAAGGGCAACAAUUAUGGUGGGAAGCACUAGAACGGAAAGAUGAUGCCAUUAAACAGAGAUUACAGCAUCUUUGCAUCCUCAACUCGCUCCUUUGAUUUCAUCUCCUAUGCGUUUUAUUGUAAAGCGAAUCAGGAUAGUUGCUGCUAUUGAGACAAAGUAAGUUUGUGUGAAGGAUUCAAAAACCCUGUCUUGCACUUGCUUGAGAUUUACUAUCUUUUUUUUGUAAUGGUUUGAGAUUUGAAACUUUGGGUUGUGUUCGUUUAAGAUUUGGUACUUCAUAUUGUAUUUGUGUAUGGUUGCUUCUUAUGUGGUUGUUAUAUCUCUCUUUUAUAACUAUUGGGUUUCAAGUAUGUUGCACAUAAGGUGCACAUAAGUGAUAGAAGAUAUUUUCUAAUGGUAUGAUUCAACAACUUAGUCAACUGACGCACUUGAGGGUUGAAGAAUGCCAUCGAAGUGAAGAGAUUAUCAUGGAAUCUGAGAUUACACAACUAGAAAACCAAGAACUUCCAAAGUUGGAGACCCUAGUACUCAUUCAUCUGCCACAACUAACAAGCAUUUGGGCUAAAGAUUCAUUAAAGUGGCCAUCUUUACAAGAAGUUGAGAUAUUUAUGUUUUUCUUGUUGAAGAGUUUACCUUUCAACAAGGUCAAUGCAACCAAAUUGAGAUCCAUUGGAAGGCAACAAUUAUUGUAGGAAGCACUAGAAUGGAAAGAUGAUUCCAUUAAACAAAGAUUACAGCCUCUUUGCAUCCUCAACUAGCUCAUUUGAUUUCAUCUUCUAUGCAUUUUAUUGUAAAGGGAAUCAGGAUAGUUGUUGCUGCUGAGAUAAAGUAAGCUUGUGUGCAGGAUUCAAAAACUCUGGCUUGCACUUGCUUGAGAUUUACUAUAUUUUUCUUGUAAUUGUUUGAGAUUUGAUACUUUUGGUGUUGUUUUUUUAAGAUUUGCUACUUCAUAUUGUAUUUGUGUAUGAUUGCUUCUUGUGUGGCUGUUAUAUCUCGCUUUUAUAACUAGUGGGUGUUAAGUAUGUUGCACAUAAGGUGCACAUAAGUGAUGGAAGAUAUUCUUUAAUGUUAUGAUUCAACAACUUAUUCAACGGACGCACUUGAGAGUUGAAGAACUCGAUCGAAUUGAGGAGAUUAUCAUGGAAUCUAAUAUUACACAACUAGAAAACAAAUCACUUCCAAAGUUGCAGACCCUAGAACACAUUCAUCUACCACAACUAACAAGCAUUUAAGCUAAAGAUUCAUUAAAAUGGCCAUCUUUACAAGAAGUUGAGAUAUGUAUGUGUUUCUUGUUGAAGAGGUUACCUUUCAACAAGGUCAAUGCAACCAAAUUGAGAUCCAUUGAAGGGCAACAAUUAUGGUGGGAAUCACUAGAAUGGAAAGAUGAUAUCAUUAAACAAAUAUUACAACCUCUUUGCAUCCUCAACUAGGUCCUUUGAUUUCAUCUCCUAUGAGUUUUAUUGUAAAGCGAAUCAGGAUAGUUGCUGUUGCUGACACAAAGUAAGUUUGUGUGCAGGAUUCAAAAACUCUAGCUUGCACUUGCUUGAGAUUUGCUAUCUUUUUCUGGUAAUUGUUUGAGAUUUGAUACUUUGGGUUGUGUUUGUUUAAGAUUUGCUACUUCAUAUUGUAUUUGUGUAUGAUUGCUUCUUGUAUGGCUGUUAUAUCUCCCUUUUAUAACUAGUGGGUGUUAAGUAUGUUGCACAUAAGGUGCACAUAAGUGAUAGAAGAUCUUCCCUAAUGGUAUGAUUCAUCAAGCUAUUCAACUGACGCACUUGAGGGUUGAAGAAUGGCAUCGAAUUGAAGAGAUUAUCAUGGAAUCUGAGAAUACACAACUAGAAAACCAAGCACUUCCAAAGUUGGAGAUCCUAGAACUCAUUCAUCGUCCAAUACUAAUAAGCAUUUGGGCUAAAGAUUCAUUAAAGUGACCAUCUUUACAAGAAGUUGAGAUAUUUAAGUGUUUCUUGUUGAAGAGUUUACCUUUCAACACGGUCAAUGCAACCAAAUUGAGAUCCAUUGAAGGGCAACAAUUAUGGUAGGAAGCACUAGAAUGGAAAGUUGAUGCCAUUAAACAAAUAUUACAACCAAGGAUUGAAAUAUCGGUUUUUACGGAUAUAUCGGUACUUCAAUUUUACGGAUAUAUCGGAAAUAUCGGAGAAAUAUCGGUGGAUAUUUUUUCAUAAAUAUCGAUGGAGUGAAAAUUAUUUAAAAUUAAUAGGAAUGCUUGAAAAAACUUCAAAAAAUGAUAACAUAAGUAAGAAUACACAUUUUAAAGUUAUCUUGUAAGUGUAAUUGAUAUAUAUAUAAUUAAGAAGAAAAAUAUCGUAAAUAGAGAUAUAUUGGUAGAUUCGAUAUUUGAAUUUUAAAAAUAAUAUAUAUGAAUUUUGAAAGUGUAUAAAGUUAAAAUUGAGUUAAGAAAUAUGAGAUUGCAAUAGUCCUUAUACUAAGAAAGAUAUCGAUGUAGUUUCAAUAUAUUAUUAGAUGAAGGGAGUUCAUCUUGUUGAAGACAGUAUUUAUUUUAAAAUUUUUAAAAUAUUUUUAUUAAAACAUAUUUUAUUAUAUUUUAAAUGAAAAAUUAAAUUAAUUUAUAUAAAAUAUCUUAUUUGAGAUUUAAUUUUUAAAAUUUUAUUAAAAAUAUGUGAUAAUAACUUUUUCUAUUAAUAUUAAUUUAUUUAAUAAUAAAAAUAAAGGUUGAUAAUUAAUAAUUAUUUAUAUAGAGAGUGGAAAAUUGUUCUCAUGAUUUUUUUACAUAUUUUAUUAUAUUUUAAAUGAUAAAUUAAAUUAAUUUAUAUAAAAUAUCUUAUUUGAGAUUUAAUUUUUAAAAUUUAUUAAAAAAUGUGAUAACAACUUUUUUUAUUAAUAUAAAUUUAUUUAAUAAUCCAAAUAAAAGUUGAAAAUUAAUAAUUAUUUAUAGAAAAUUGUUCUCAUGUUUUUUUUAUUUUUUAUUUUUUAUUUUUUUAUCUCCCCUAAAUCUAAAAAUAAAAAAAAAAUAAAAAAGGCACCCACUUCUCUCUCGGGCAUCAAGAACCCUUUUCUGAAGGUGUCUUCCAGCGAGAGAAUCCCUAAAAAGCCCUAUUUUCCUCUGCUACUCUCAAAUCUCAAUCCUCGCAGGUACUAAUCUAAUCAUGUUAUUAUUAAUUUUUUUUUUGCAACCCCCGUUUGAUUCCCAAGAAAAUCCAUCCCCAUUCGAUUUCCGGGAAAAUUCAUCCUCGUUUGAUUUCCGAGAAAAUCCAUUCAAAACUCCCAAAGAAAACCAAAAAAAUUGCUUUUCUUUUGCUCCCUGUGUUUUCUGGAUCUGUUUUAGGGGUCUCUUUGCUGUUGUGCCAUUGGAUUUAAAUUUCACGAACCCUAAAUCCACGAUUUUUGAGCCAGGCUGAAAAACACAACUGCGCGGGCUGGACUGGUAGGAAAUAUCGCGAUUUUUCUCCGAUUUUUCGGUGCUUCACCGAUAUUUCGCCGAUAUAUCGGCGAUUUUGUCGAUUUUUGGCCGAUUUUUCCGUCGAUCGAUAAUCGGUGCCGUUUAUCGUUUCCAUGCCGCCCGAUAACCGAUAUUUCGACGAAAUAUCGGCGACAUUUUCCGAUUUUUCAAUCCAUGAUUACAACCUCUUUGCAUUCUCAACUAGCUCAUUUGAUUUCAUCUCCUAUGCGUUUUAUUGUAAAGCGAAUCAGGAUAAUUGUUGCUGCUGAGACAAAGUAAGUUUUGGUGAAGGAUUCAAAAACUCUGGCUUGCACUUGCUUGAGAUUUACUAUCUUUUUCUGGUAAUUGUUUGAGAUUUGAUAUUUUGGGUUGUGUUUGUUUAAGAUUUGCUACUUCAUAUUGUAUCUAUGUAUGAUUGCUUCUUGUAUGGUUGUUAUAUAUCCCUUUUAUAACUGGUGGGUGUUAAGUAUGUUGCACAUAAGGUGCACAUAAGUGAUAGAAGAUAUUAUCUAAUGGUAUGAUUCAUCAACUUAUUCAACUGGCGCACUUGAGAGUUGAAGAAUGCCAUCGAAUUGAAGAGAUUAUCAUGGAAUAUGAGAAUACACAACUAGGAAACAAAGCACUUCCAAAGUUGGAGACCCUAGAACUUAUUCAUCUUCCACAACUAACAAGCAUUUGGGCUAAAGAUUCAUUAAAGUGGCCAUCUUUACAAGAAGUUGAGAUAUUUAAGUGUUUCUUGUUGAAGAGUUUACCUUUCAACACGGUCAAUGCAACCAAAUUGAGAUCCAUUGAAGGGCAACAAUUAUGGUGGGAAGCACUAGAAGGGAAAGAUAAUGCCAUUAAACAAAGAUUACAACUUCUUUGCAUCCUCAACUAGCUCCUUUGAUUUCAUCUCCUAUGCGUUUUAUUGUAAAACGAAUCAGGAUAGUUGCUGCUGCUAAGACAAAGUAAGUUUGUGUGCAAGAUUCAAAAACUCUAGGUUGCACUUUCCUGAGUUUUACUAUCUUUUUCUUGUAAUUGUUUGAGAUUUGAUACUUUGGGUUGUGUUUGUUUAAGAUUUGCUACUUCAUACUGUAUUUGUGUAUUGUUGCUUCUUGUGUGGUUGUUAUAUCUUUCUUUUAUAACUAGUGGGUGUUAAGUAUGUUGCACAUAAGGUGCACAUAAGUGAUAGAAGAUAUUUUCUAAUGGUAUGAUUCAACAACUUAUUCAACUGACGCACUUGAAGGUUGAAGAAUGCCAUCGAAUUGAAGAGAUUAUCAUGGAAUCUGAGAAUACACAACUAGAAAACCAAGCACUUCCAAAGUUGGAGACCCUAGAACUCAUUCAUCUGCCACAACUAACAAGCAUUUGGGCUAAAGAUUCAUUAAAGUGGCCAUCGUUAUAAGAAGUUGAGAUAUCUAAUUUUUUCUUGUUGAAGAGUUUACCUUUCAACAAGGUCAAUGCAACCAAAUUGAGAUCCAUCGGAGGGCAACAAUUAUUGUGGGAAACACUAGAAUGGAAAGAUGAUUCCAUUAAACAAAGAUUACAACCUUUUUGCAUCCUCAACUAGCUCAUUUGAUUUCAUCUCCUAUGCGUUUUAUUGUAAAGCGAAUUAGAAUAAUUGCUGCUGCUGAGACAAAGUAAGUUUGUGUGCAGGAUUCAAAAACUUUGGCUUGCACUUGCUUGAGAUUUAUUAUCUUUUUCUUGUAAUUGUUUGAGAUUUGAUACUUUGGGUUGUGUUUGUUUAAGAUUUGCUACUUCAUAUUGUAUUUGUAUAUGAUUGCUUCUUGUGUGGUUGUUAUAUCUCCCUUUUAUAAGUAGUGGGUGUUAAGUAUGUUGCACAUAAGGUGCACAUAAGUGAUAGAAGAUAUUCUCUAAUGGUAUGAUUCAACAACUUAUUCAACUGACGCACUUGAGGGUUGAAGAAUGCCAUCGACUUGAAAAGAUUAUCAUGGAAUCUGAGAAUACACAACUAGAAAACCAAGCACUUCCAAAGUUGGAGAUCCUAGAACUCAUUCAUCUGCCACAACUAACAAGCAUUUGGGCUAAAGAUUCAUUAAAGUGGCCAUCUUUACAAGAAGUUGAGAUAUCUAAGUGUUUCUUGUUGAAGAGUUUACCUUUCAACAUGGUCAAUGCAACCAAAUUGAGAUCUAUUGAAGGGCAAUAAUUAUGGUGGGAAGUACUAGAAUGGAAAGAUGAUGCCAUUAAAUAAAGAUUAUAGCCUCUUUGCAUCCUCAACUAGCUCCUUUGAUUUCAUCUCCUAUGCGUUUUAUUGUAUAGCUAAUGCGGAUAGUUGCUACUAUUGAGACAAAGUAAGUUUGUGUGUAGGAUUCAAAAACUUUGGCUUGCACUUGCUUGAGAUUUACUAUCUUUUUCUCAUAUUUGUUUUAGAUUUGAUACUAUGGGUUGUGUUUGUUUAAGAUUUGCUACUUCAUAUUGUAUUUGUGUAUGAUUUCUUCUUGUGUGGUUGUUAUAUCUCUAUAAAUCUUACCUAAGGAUCAUAGAUUGAAAAUCUUAAGCUUUAUUUGGUUAUAGAAAAGUACUAAAGGAAGAGGAAAAUGAUUUUCUCAUGUUUGGUUUAAAAUUAUUUUCUUUAUAUAGAUGAGAAAAAAGAAAGUAAAAAGAGUUCAAAAUAGCAUAUGAAGAUAAUUUGUCGACUUUAAAUUUUUUUUUUUUCACUUUUCUUUUCUUUCACUUUUCGCCUCCAUUUCAACUUCUACUAGUACGUUCAUGCUAGAUUUUAAUUCAGUCAUUUCUUCUGUUUUCAUAAAAACCUUCAACAUUUUAACUUGGAAAGACUACUUUUGAUGGAAUAACGACAAGUCAUCUUCUCGACCAAACCAACGUAUAUGUUAAAUUCGAUCAUAGUUCUGAUCGAUGACACUCGUUUACUCCCUUAACCAUGUUGUAUUCACACUUGCCCCUAACUUCUUUUUUAAGUAUGACAAUAAAGUUUUGUUGGAAAGUUCUACUUGCCUGUUAGAACUAUUUGAAAAAAUAAGUCCCUUUUAUAGGAAAUUAAAUUACUAAUAGAAAAAAUAUAAUAUAAUUUCAUUACUAGAUCUCCCUUUUAUAACUAGUGGGUGUUAAGUAUGUUGCACAUAAGNNNNAAGGUAAACUCUUACAUAAGAAACACUUAUAUAUUUCAACUUCUGGUAAAAAUGGCCACUUUAAUGUAUCUUUAGCCCAAAUGCUUGUUAGUUAUGGGAGAUGAAUGAGUUAUAGGUCUCCAACUUUUGAAGUGCUUGGUUUUCUAGUUGUGUAUUCUCAGAUUCCAUGAUAAUCUUUUCAAGUCGAUGGCAUUCUUCAACCCUCAAGUGCGUCAGUUGAAUAAGUUGUUGAAUCAUACCAUUAGAGAAUAUCUUCUAUCACUUAUGUGCACCUUAUGUGUAACAUACUUAACACCCACUAGUUAUAAAAGGGAGAUAUAACAACCACACAAGAAGCAAUUUUAUACAAAUACAAUAUGAAGUAGCAAAUCUUAAACAAACACAACCCAAAGUAUCAAAUCUCAAACAAUUACAAGAAAAAUAUAGUAAAUCUUAAGCAAGUGCAAGCCAAAGUUUUUGAAUCCUGCACACAAACUUAGUUUGUCUCAGCAGCAUCAACUAUCCUGAUUCGCUUUACAAUAAAACGCAUAGGAGAUGAAAUCAAAGGAGGUAGUUGAGGAUUUAAAGAGGUUGUAAUUUUUGUUUAAUGACAUCAUCUUUCCAUUCUAGUGCUUCCCACCAUAAUUGUUGCCCUUCAAUGGAUCUCAAUUUUGUUGCAUUGACCAUGUUGAAAGGUAAACUCUUUAAUAAGAAACACUUAUAUAUCUCAACUUCUUGUAAAAAUGGCCACUUUAAUGUAUCUUUAGCCCAAAUGCUUGUUAGUUAUGGGAGAUGAAUGAGUUAUAGGUCUCCAACUUUUGAAGUGCUUGGUUUUCUAGUUGUGUAUUCUCAGAUUCCAUGAUAAUCUUUUCAAGUCGAUGGCAUUCUUCAACCCUCAAGUGCGUCAGUUGAAUAAGUUGUUGAAUCAUACCAUUAGAGAAUAUCUUCUAUCACUUAUGUGCACCUUAUGUGCAACAUACUUAACACCCACUACUUAUAAAAGGGAGAUAUAACAACCACACAAGAAGCAAUCAUACACAAAUACAAUAUGAAGUAGCAAAUCUUAAACAAACACAACCCAAAGUAUCAAAUCUCAAACAAUUACAAGAAAAAUAUAGUAAAUCUCAAGCAAAUGCAAGCCAAAGUUUUUGAAUCCUAAACACAAACUUAAUUUUUCUCAGCAAUAGCAACUAUCCUGAUUCGCUUUACAAUAAAACGCAUUGGAGAUGAAAUCAAAUGAGCUAGUUGAGGAUGUAAAGAGGUUGUAAUAUUUGUUUAAUUGCAUCAUCUUUCCAUUCUAGUGCUUUCCACCAUAAUUGUUGCCCUUCAAUGGAUCUCAAUUUGGUUCCAUUGACCUUGUUUAAAGGUAAACUCUUGAACAAGAAACACUUAUAUAUCUCAACUUCUUGUAAAGAUGGCCACUUUAAUGAAUCUUUAACCCAAAUGCUUGUUAGUUGUGGCAGAUGAAUGAGUUUUAGGGUCUCCAACUUUGUAAGUGUUUGGUUUUCUAGUUGUGUAUUCUCAGAUUCCAUGAUAAUCUGUUCAAUUCAAUGGCAUUCUUCAACCCUCAAGUGCGUCAGUUGAAUAAGUUGUUGAAUCAUACCAUUAGGGAAUAUCUUCUAUCACUUAUGUGCACCUUAUGUGCAACAUACUUAAUACCCACUAGUUAUAAAAAAGUGAUAUAACAACCACACAAGAAGCAGUCAUAUACAAAUACAAUAUGAAGUAGCAAAUCUUAAACAAACACAACCCAAAGUAUCAAAUCUCAAACAAUUACAAGAAAAAUAUAGUAAAUCUCAAGCAAGUGCAAACCAAAGUUUUUGAAUCCUGCACACAAACUUACUUUGUCUCAGCAGCAGCAACUAUCCUGAUUCGCUUUACAGUAAAACGCAUAAGAGAUGAAAUCAAAUGAGCUAGUUGAGGAUGCAAAGAGGUUGUAACCUUUGUUUAAUGGCAUCAUCUUUCCAUUCUAGUGCUUCCCACCAUAAUUGUUGUCCUUCAAUUGAUCUCAAUUUGGUUGCAUUGACCGUGUUGAAAGGUAAACUCUUCAACAAGAAACACUUAGAUAUCUCAAAUUUUUAUAAAGAUGGCCACUUUAAUGAAUCUUUAGCCCAAAUGCUUGUUAGUUGUGGCAGAUGAAUGUGUUCUAGGGUCUCCAACUUUGGAAGUGCUUGGUUUUCUAGUUGUGUAUUCUCAAAUUCCAUGAUAAUAUCUUCAAUUCGAUGGCAUUCUUCAACCCUCAAGUGCGUCAGUUGAAUAACUUGUUGAAUCAUACCAUUAGAGAAUAUUUUCUAUCACUUAUGUGCACCUUAUGUGCAACAUACUUAGCACCCACUAGUUAUAAAAAAAAAAUAUAACAACCACACAAUAAGCAAUCAUNNNNNNNNNNNNNNNNNNNNNNNNNNNNNNNNNNNNNNNNNNNNNNNNNNNNNNNNNNNNNNNNNNNNNNNNNNNNNNNNNNNNNNNNNNNNNNNNNNNNNNNNNNNNNNNNNNNNNNNNNNNNNNNNNNNNNNNNNNNNNNNNNNNNNNNNNNNNNNNNNNNNNNNNNNNNNNNNNNNNNNNNNNNNNNNNNNNNNNNNNNNNNNNNNNNNNNNNNNNNNNNNNNNNNNNNNNNNNNNNNNNNNNNNNNNNNNNNNNNNNNNNNNNNNNNNNNNNNNNNNNNNNNNNNNNNNNNNNNNNNNNNNNNNNNNNNNNNNNNNNNNNNNNNNNNNNNNNNNNNNNNNNNNNNNNNNNNNNNNNNNNNNNNNNNNNNNNNNNNNNNNNNNNNNNNNNNNNNNNNNNNNNNNNNNNNNNNNNNNNNNNNNNNNNNNNNNNNNNNNNNNNNNNNNNNNNNNNNNNNNNNNNNNNNNNNNNNUCAGUUGAAUAAGUUGUUGAAUCAUACCAUUAGAGAAUAUUUUCUAUCACUUAUGUGCACCUUAUGUGCAACAUACUUAGCACCCACUAGUUAUAAAAAAAAAAUAUAACAACCACACAAUAAGCAAUCAUAUACAAAUACAAUAUGAAAUAGAAAAUCUUAAAGAAACACAACGCAAAGUAUCAAAUCUCAAACAAUUACCAGAAAAAGAUAGUAAAUCUCAAGCAAGUGCAAACCAGAGUUUUUUAAUCCUUCACACAAACUUACUUUGUCUUAGCAAUAGCAACUAUCAUGAUUCGUUUUACAAUAAAACGCAUAGGAGAUCAAAUCAAAUGAGCUAGUUGAGGAUGCAAAGAGGUUGUAAUCUUUGUUUAAUGGCAUCAUCUUUCCAUUCUAGUGCUUCCCACCAUGGUUGUUGCCCUUCAAUGGAUGAUCUCAAUUUGGUUGCAUUGACCUUGUUGAAAGGUAAACUCUUCAACAAGAAACACUUAGAUAUCUCAACUUCUUGUAAAGAUGACCACUUUAAUGAAUCUUUAGCCCAAAUGCUUGUUAGUUGUGGCAAAUGAAUGUGUUCUCGGGUCUGCAAGUUUGGAAGUGCUUGGUUUUCUAGUUGUGUAUUCUUAGAUUCCAUGAUAAUCUCUUCAAUUCGAUGGCAUUCUUCAACUCUCAAGUGCGUCAGUUAAAUAAGUUGUUGAAUUAUACCAUUAGAGAAUAUCUUCCAUCACUUAUGUGCACCUUAUGUGCAACAUACUUAACACCCAGUAGUUAUAAAAGGAAGAUAUAACAGCCACACAAGAAGCAAUCAUACACAAAUACAAUAUGAAGUAGCAAAUCUUAAACAAACACAACCCAAAGUAUCAAAUCUAAAACAAUUACAAGAAAAAGAUAGUAAAUCUCCAGCAAGUGCAAGCCAGAGUUUUUGAAUCCUGCACACAAACUUACUUUGUCUCAGCAGCAGCAACUAUCCUGAUUCGCUUUACAAUAAAACGCACAAGAAAUGAAAUGAAGUGAGCUAGUUCAGGAUGCAAAGAGGUUGUAAUAUUUUUUUAAUGGCAUCAUCUUUCCAUUCUAGUGCUUCUCACCAUAAUUGUUGCCCUUCAAUGGAUCUCAAUUUGGUUGCAUUGACCUUGUUGAAAGGUAAACUCUUCAACAAGAUACACUUAGCCCAAAUGAAUCUUUGUAAAGAUGACCACUUUAAUGAAUCUUUAGCCCAAAUGUUUGUUAGUUGUGGCAGAUGAAUGAGUUAUAGGGUCUCCAACUUUGGAAGUGCUGUGUUUUCUAGUUGUGUAUUCUCAGAUUACAUGAUAAUCUCUUCAAUUCGAUGACAUUCUUCAACUCUCAAGUGCGUCAGUUGAAUAAGUUGUUGAAUCAUACCAUUAGAGAAUAUCUUUUAUCACUUAUGUGCAUCUUAUGUGCAACAUACUUUACACCCACUAGUUAUAAAAGGGAGAUAUAACAACACACAAGAAGCAAUCAUACACAAAUACAAUAUGAAGUAGCAAAUCUUAAAGAAACACAACGCAAAGUAUCAAAUCUCAAACAAAUACAAGAAAAAUAUAGUAAAUCUCAAGCAAGUGCAAGCUAGAGUUUUUGAAUCCUUCACACAAACUUACUUUGUCUCAGCAGCAGCAACUAUCCUGAUUCGCUUUACAAUAAAACGCAUAGGAAAUGAAAUCAAAUGAGCUAGUUGAGGAUGCAAAGAGGCUAUAAUCUUUGUUUAAUGGCAUCAUCUUUCCAUUCUAGUGCUUCCCACCAUAAUUGUUGUCCUUCAAUGGAUCUCAAUUUGGUUGCAUUGAUCAUGUUGAAAGGUAAACUCUUCAACAAGAAACACUUAGAUAUCUCAACUUCUUGUAAAGAUGGCCACUUUAAUGAAUCUUUAGCCCAAAUGCUUGUUAGUUGUGGCAAAUGAGUUCUAGGGUCUCUAACGUUGGAAAUGCUUGGUUUUCUAGUUGUGUAUUCUCAAUUUUCAGGAUAAUAUCUUCAAUUCGAUGGCAUUCUUCAACUCUCAAGUGCAUCAGUUGAAUAAGUUGUUGAAUCAUACCAUUAGAGAAUAUCUUCUAUCACUUAUGUGCAUCUUAUGUGCAACAUACUUAACACCGACUAGUUAUAAAAGGGAGAUAUAACAACACACAAGAAGCAAUCAUACACAAAUACAAUAUGAAGUAGCAAAUCUUAAAGAAACACAACCCAACGUAUCAAAUCUCAAUUAAUUACAAGAAAAAGAUAGUAAAUCUCGAGCAAGUGCAAGCCAAAGUUUUUUAAUCCUGCACACAAACUUACUUUGUCUCAGCAGCUGCAACUAUCCUGAUUCGCUUUACAAUAAAACACAUAGGAGAUGAAAUCAAAGGAGCUAGUUUAGGAUGCAAAGAGGCUGUAAUAUUUGUUUAAUGGCAUCAUCUUUUCCGUUCUAGUGCUUCCCACUAUAAUUGUUGCCCUUCAAUGGAUCUCAAUUUGGUUGCAUUGACUUUGUUGAAAGGUAAACUCUUCAACAAGAAACACUUAGAUAUCUCAACUUCUUGUAAAGAUGGCCACUUUAAUGAAUAUUUAACCCAAAUGUUUGUUAGUUGUGGCAGAUGAAUGAGUUCUAGGGUCUCCAACUUUGGAAAUGCUUGGUUUUCUAGUUGUGUAUUAUCAGAUUCCAUGAUAAUUUCUUCAAUUCGAUGGCAUUCUUUAACUCUCAAGUGCGUCAGUUGAAUAAGUUGUUGAAUCAUACCAUUGGAGAAUAUCUUCUAUCACUUAUGUGCAACAUACUUUACACCCACUAGUUAUAAAAGAGAGAUCUGGUAAUGAAAUUAUAUUAUAUUUUUUCUAUUAGUAUUUUAAUUUCUUAUGAAAAGGGACUUAUUUUUUCAAAUAGUUCUAACAGGCAAGUAGAACUUUCCAACAAAACUUUAUUGUCAUACUUGAAAAAGAAGUUAGGGGCAAGUGUGAAUACAACAUGGUAAUGGAGUAAAUGAGUGUCAUCGAUCAGAACUGUGAUUGAAUUUAGUACGUACACAUUGGUUUGGUCGAGUAGAUGACUUGUCGUUAUUCCAUCAAUUAGAUUGAUCUCGAUGUGCACAGAGGUCGUUUUCUAGCAUUGAAUACUACUUGACACGUUGGAACAAUUCAUCAAUCAAACUUGGAGGGUCCAACGAAAUAGAGUUAAAAAAUAGGGUAUUCUAUAAGAUAGUCUCCUUGAUGGUUUGCAUGAUGGUAUCCAUGCUUACACUAUCCAACUGAAGUAUUGCUCGUCCAAACAGUUUCAUGCUACUUUAGAUAGACUCAUUUCAUUACAUUUUUAUGUGGAACAAGUUGAUAAUACUUUAUUUUGCCCCUAACGGAACAUAAAUAAUGCGUGGUGAAUGUCUCAAAUAAUUGUUGAAACAAACUUAUAGAAUUGUGUGAAAGUCAAUGAAAUAUGAAAUGGUAGGUCUCUACAAAUUGGAUGAAAAAACUUUACAUCAUAAUGGAUUGUUAUUACUUUCUAAUGUCAUUAUCUAUUGAAAGUGUAUAAGAUGGUCUAAUGGAUCUGUUAUGACAUCAUAUAUGUUAAACUUUGGCAUGGAGAAGUCCCUCGACGCAUUGUAUCACAAUACGUGAGGGAUGAAUAGUGUCGAGGCUAUAUCGUUAAGAUACGGAAGGUCGAGUUAGACACCCGUAAUUGAAGUUGGUUAGGCAGAAUGGGUAUAUGUUAUGCUUGUUUUGAGAAUGAUUCUUAAAAUAGUAGCUUUUUCUAGGUUGCAUAAAAGUAGUAUUUCGAAGAUCAAAAUGUUGAAGGUUUUUAUGAAAACAGAAGAAAUGACUUAAUUAAAAUCUAGCAUGAACAUACUAGUAGAAGUUGAAAUGGAGGCCAAGACUGCUAUAAAGAUAGAAAAUGAUGCCAAUAAAAAGUUUUUGAAAGGCCACAAGUUGAUGAAAGGCAAAAAUAAAAAUAAAAAUAAUAGAAAAUUUGGUAGAGUAGGCGAAGAUGUCAUUGAGUAGAGGACUUGAAAAAAAUGAAGAAAAAGGUAAACAUAUACAAUGUUGACGGAAAUAGAGAUAACAAUUUUAUUAAUUUUUAAUAAUUUUGUUUUUUCAAUUAGGUAACUUAAACCUUUCUUAUCACUUAGGUUUUAUUUCUCAAUUAUUAUAUUCAAAAUUUUAGAAUUAGGAUGAAAUGCUUCAUUUUGACUAUCAAAGUUCUAUCUAAAUUCAUGUAACUUUGAAGAAAUAAUUGAUUUGAUUUCAAAAUAAUGAAAUUAUUUAUUCAUAUUAGUAAAUUCUAAUGUGAGAAAAUUUAAUAAAUACAAAGUACAACAAAUAUAAUAAAUACAAAAUAAUAUGUUUAAAUAUGUGAAUACAUAAGCACUCUAUGUGUAAAUUACACAUGACACCUAAUAAUUAUAAAAAUGGCCUAUUAAUGAAAUUAUAUUCUCUUUUUUUUUUUACUAAGAUUUUAAUUUCCUAUAAAAUAAACUUGUUUUGAGAAUGAUUUUAAAGAGUAGCUUUCUCUAGGUUUCACAAGAAUAGUAUUUCUAAAAUCAAAACGCCUGAAAGGUUUUUAUGAAGAUUAAAGAAAUUAUUGAAUUGAAAUCCAGCGUGCUCAGACUAGUAGAAGCUGGAGAGAAGAAGGCAAAGACUACCAUAAAGAUGGAGAAUGAUGCCAAGAAAAAGCUUUUGAAAGACUGCAACCUAAUGAUAAAGGUAAAAAAAAAAAAAAAGUAAAAAGUGGAAGAAUGGGUAUAACAUUGACAUUAGCAAAGUGGAGGAAACGAAAAAAACAAUUUAAUUCAUUUUUAAUAAUUUUGUUUUUUAGUUAAAUUACCUAAACAUCUCAUAUCCCUUGGGCUUUCUUUUCUCAAUUAUUUUAUUCAAAAUUUCAUAAUUAGGAUGAACUACACUUAUUUUAACUCUUGAAACUAAUCUCAAAGAAAUAAUUAAUCUUUGAAUAAAUAUAAUAAAUAUAAGGUAAUAUGAUUAAAUACGUAACUGACAUACACUUUAUGUAUGACAAAUGUAAAAUGAAAAAAAAAAUGGAAGAAGAAUGAAAAAAUGGGUAGAGAGGGAGAAAAGGCUGAUAAACAAACAAUUUGAGAAAAUGAAGAAAAAUGUGAAUGAAUACAACAUAGAUAAUAUACAUCUUCCUAUUUUAUUAUACAAAUUUAGAUAGAUGGUCAUAACAAUAUCUAGGGAUGGCAAUGGGGCGGGUCUUUUUGAAUACCUGCCCCACCCCGUCCCUAAUGAGACGGAGUUUAAUUUAAUAAAUGGGUUUGGGAUCGGUUUGAGAAUUUUUUUUAAAACCCGAGGCGGGUUCGGGUAUUGCCCCACCCCGCCCUGCCCCAAUUAUACAUAAAAUUAAAUUAAAUUUAUAAUUUAAAAUUAAUUUAAUUUAAUUUUUAUUUUAUUAUUUUUAAUAUACAAAUAAUAAAAAAAUAUUUUUAAUAAAAUAAUUUAUAAAAAAUAUAUAAUAAUUUAAUUAUUUAUAAAAUAUAUUUAUUUUAAUAUAAUUAAAAAGUAAUUUAAAAAUAAAAAAUUAAAAUUCGUCAGGGACGGGUAUGGGAAUUAUCAUACCCACCAUCUGCCUGCCCCACCCCGCCCUAUUUAAUUUUUUUAAAUGAAAUAGGUAUGAGAAUUGUUUCAAAUAAAUGGGGCGGGGUUGGGAUGAAGGCGACUCGUCAGGAACUAGUCUGCUACCAUCCCUAACAAUAUCUUCACAAACAUUGAAUUUUUUUAUAUUUUGUUCCUUUUUAUUUUCUCACAAAGCUUUCCCAUGUUGGCCUUAUCUUCUUCUAUAUAUCUAUCUUUCAUUAGUGUUUUCAAUAAUUUAUCAACAAUAAAAAAAUAAAAAUAAAAUAUAGAUAAUAAAAGUAUUGUAUAUAAAAUAGGAUUUUGUAGACCCCCAUUCUGGGCUUGCUUUUAUGCAGCCAUUUUUUAUAGGUGUUGCCAUCUUGGGUGGCCACGUGUCAAUCUCUGGUUGGCUGUUAGAGCACCAGAGUGGUGUUUUUGAUGGCCAGUGGGUGUGCGACACGUGUCCAAAGAAUCUGCAAAAAGCUGCAGACGGUUAGAGGAGUGGGGUGGCCAGCUGCUUGAUCUCUUUCCUGGCCGUUGGAGGUAUUUUGAGGGGGAGAUACCUAGGCUGUGAGAGGAUAUGCAGAGGGGGGUACGUUUCUGUUAUGGAGGGAGAGCCCAUUGACAACUGUGAGAGAUUCUGGAGAGCUUUUUGGGGAGCUUGGGCAGGAAGCUUCCUGGAGGAAGGUUUGAGGUUUCUGUUAUGAGAGGUUUUUUUUGGGAGAGCUUAGGGAGACAUUCGAGGGGAUCAUUUUUAAAGGGGGGUUUUUCUGGCUGGGGAGCCAAGAAAAGGAACCUGAGAGUGAGGUUUGCUGUGGGGAGUUUUCCUGGGAGAUAUUUUUGGUGGAGGUUCUUCUUGGGAGGACCUCAGAGCAGGGGAGCGGAUUUUUUUUUGAGGAUGAGGAAGCUCUGAGAGAGGGAAACACUUGAGAGAGACACUUUGGAGAGAGAUAUUUUGAGAGAGGUAGAGAGAGUGAGGUAAUGCGAGAGGGUAAUGUGUUUUCUGGUUGUUGAGAGGAGCUUUUGGGAGUACCUUGAGAAGCAAGACAGAGAGCAAGAGCUUAAAAAAGGAGAUAACAGAGGAAGAGAGUAGCUGCAGGUAAGUUUGAGGUGAGUUUCUUGCUUACUUUGAUUCAUAUAUUUCUCAUCUCUUUCCCAUUUUGAUUUACUCUACAUUGCUCGCCAAUUUGAGUUGGAUAAUAUGGAUUACAUGCUGAAUUUAUUGGUUUUUGGAUCCUUUCUUAUGCUCUGUUGCUAUUGAUCUUACUGUCAUUUCUUGUGGUUUGGUUUGGAGCUAGUGGGACUCUGUUUUUCAUACACUCUGUAAGUCUAGCUUAAGAUCUCCUCACCUGUAUGAGCCCAUGGAUGUCACCUGAAAUGAGGCUUUAUACAUUCAUGCUUUACCUGAUUCCCAGUCCAUCAUUCUCUCAAUUUUCACUCUGGUCUCUGCCUUUGUUUUCAUUCCUUUGAUUUUGCUGUGGUUGUGGUGUUAAAUAUCUCAUUUGGGAUUGGCUAUCAUGGUUUGGAGGUGGGGUGUCUCUGAGAGAGCCUCAUGAGGGUCACUUUCCAUACAGUUGAGUAUUUCUGAGUGCCUGAAAAGCUAUGUAGAUCGCAUUGGACGUCCAGAGGAAAGAAACUUGAGCUAAAUCCUCGUGAGAAUGCGUAUAUUGUGAAUGCUUUGGCCGAUGCCUUUACUGUGUCUAUAGAUGCACCCUUUCUGCUGAAUCUGGAAUGUAAUCACCNNNNNNNNNNNNNNNNNNNNNNNNNNNNNNNNNNNNNNNNNNNNNNNNNNNNNNNNNNNNNNNNNNNNNNNNNNNNNNNNNNNNNNNNNNNNNNNNNNNNGGGUAAUGUGUUUUCUGGUUGCUGAGAGGAGCUUUUUGGGAGUACCUUGAGAAGCAAAACAGAGAGCAAGAGCUUAAAAAAGGAGAUAACAGAGGAAGAGAGUAGUUGCAGGUAAGUUUGAGGUGAGUUUCUUGCUUACUUUGAUUCAUAUAUUUCUCAUCUCUUUCCCAUUUUGAUUUACUCUACAUUGCUCGCCAAUUUGAGUUGGAUAAUAUGGAUUACAUGCUGAAUUUAUUGGUUUUUGGAUCCUUUCUUAUGCUCUGUUGCUGUUGAUCUUACUGUCAUUUCUUGUGGUUUGGUUUGGAGCUAGUGGGACUCUGUUUUUCAUACACUCUGUAAGUCUAGCUUAAGAUCUCCUCACCUGUAUGAGCCCAUGGAUGCCACCUGAAAUGAGGCUUUAUACAUUCAUGCUUUACCUGAUUCCCAGUCCAUCAUUCUCUCAAUUUUCACUCUGGUCUCUGCCUUUGUUUUCAUUCCUUUGAUUUUGCUGUGGUUGUGGUGUUAAAUAUCUCAUUUGGGAUUGGCUAUCAUGGUUUGGAGGUGGGGUGUCUCUGAGAGAGCCUCAUGAGGGUCACUUUCCAUACAGUUGAGUAUUUCUGAGUGCCUGAAAAGCUAUGUAGAUCGCAUUGGACGUCCAGAGGAAAGAAACUUGAGCUAAAUCCUCGUGAGAAUGCGUAUAUUGUGAAUGCUUUGGCCGAUGCCUUUACUGUGUCUAUAGAUGCACCCUUUCUGCUGAAUCUGGAAUGUAAUCACCAUACCAAUGACAGUGAGGCUCUUAAGGAGAUUGUGCUGCACAAUGGACUGGAAAAAGACAGAUGACCUUCACCAUGUGGUCCAAAAGGUCAAAUCUGAAUUGCAUGAAGCAGUACCUGUUCUUCAUGUGGACAUUUAUUCUGAGUUUGGGUCAUUAUUGACUCACUGCUCAGGGAGUUGUUGAAUUAUUCUGCUUAGAAUUGGUGGCUGCCAUACCUGGGCAUUAGUAUUGCCUCUUGACUGCUGAUGGUUCAUGCAUCUAUACUGUUGGAGUUGAGCAGGGUGAUCACCAAAAUGGGUUGUAGUUCAGGAAAUCGAAUCAGGAAGUCCUUCUUGGAAGACUGUGAUCUUCGUCAUGAUUCAAACUUCAUACGCAUUGAAACUACAUGCUACCCCAUGGGAGAUUGUUGUACCACCCCCUCUAGAUGUAUUUUCAAAUUCGAAUCCUCAAAGUCAAGCUUGAAGAGUUCAUCGCCUUGGGAAUUUCUCAGUUUCUGGGCAUGAUACAGAAGAGGCAGUUAUACUGGACCUUAUGCCAAACCCAGGUCGUGGUGGGUACAUACCCCAUUAGUGCCCCAAUAUCCUUUUUGUGCGUUUUUGUGAUGAGAACUCUUGUGCUCGAAGAAAGUCUUUUAGCAGGAUACAAUCACUAAAAGAAUGAUGGCCAUUGAGGAAAUGGCAUGCAUGGAUGCUCUCUGCAAUGACAAGACAGGAACAUUGACCUUGAACAAGUUGACUGUUGACUGAAACCUUAUUGAAGUGAUUACAGAAAGUGUGGAGCACUCCUCAGGUGACGUUGCUUGGGUUUCAUCCUCUUGUAAUAGUGGUGAUAAUUCCAUAAUAGCUACAGAAGGUUCUAGUUACAUAUAGUGAAGGACCAUCGUACCCAUCUUCUAUCUCAUUCUCUCAUCAUUCAUCUUCAUCCAUUAAUUUCCCCUUCACCUAUUCCACAAUCCUCUCGCAUGCAUGCAUCUCAUGCAUACGAUCCCUCACCAUUAUUCCUAUAUUCUCAUCCUUCCAAACUCAUCAACACUACACCUAACUCUCAUACCCGUACCCAUUUUUCACGCCCCUCAUACUAGCUUCUCCACUGUACACUUCACAUUGCUUCAUCAGCCACCUCGUCCAACAAAUAUAUCACUGUCAUCCCUUGUCUUGAUGGUUUCCCAGAAGAAGUUCCAAGACCCAAAGAGAUGAUGUCAGGGUUCAGGUUUGUUCUCGGUAUCUCUACUGGAGAAAGAAUAAGUCAUUCAUGCAAAGGUCUUCAAGGUGUUGAAGUGACUUAGAGAGCCGAACCUCCAUUUUUUUUAUAUAUUCAGUCAUGAGCAUCAAAAAGUAAGCCCAAUGAAAGUCUGGGCUGUUCUCACUGAUUUGGGUUUGAGACUAUGGAGAGACCCAGGUGAUAAGUCCAAGCCGCCAACAGCCCAUAUGCAAGGAAAAUUCCCUGUGCGUUAUAAAAUGGCAGUAUUGGGUGGGGAUUUCACGUUUGCACAGUCAUCACGGUAACUUGCAAAUCUGGAAAAUCUUGAACUCAUAAAGCUCAUCAGUCAGGUUAUUGAAUAUUUUGCAAGUGAUGCAAGAAGCAAUGGAGCUCAGGAAACCACGGUGAGGCUGAAAAGGAGACUCUACACUUGAAAGUUGCUGAAGCUGCGAAUUGAGAGACAGGAAAUGAAGCUAAUUGAUGACCUGGCCAUGCAAGCUGUUGCCUGUCUUUAAGUGCAAUCUCUUGUUACGGAAGAUGUUCCCAAGGAGAUUGUGAGCCAGGAAAGAGAGAUUGAGAUGCAGAGGGAAGAUCUUUGGUCGAACCCAGAAUAUAUCAAACCAAGGAUUGCUGAGAGGCCCUAAAUCUGGAAGUUGACUCAGUUUUUCUCAAAUCAGGCUCGCUGUACUAAGAAAGGAAAUAAGAGAAAGAACACUCCUUCAAAGUGGGCCAAAAAUGGGAUCUUCUCUGCAUGGCCACCAUCCUUAUGUUGCAUGUCACUUCCUUUCAAAUCCCUUCCCUGUGAUUUCGAAAUAAAGAUUUCCUAACCCUGUUUUCAAAUGAUUUUCCAAUUUUCGUUUUUUUAAAUGAUUUCAAGUCAUCAAAAUUUUCAUCCUUAGAGUCUUUAGGUUCCACAAGACUCAUUUUCAAUAAAAUUUAGCCGCCAUUUUCUUUUCGGUGAGCCACUUUCGAUUUUUUUUUUUUCAUCAUUUUAAAACGUUUUAAAAUAAACAUGAAUUUAAAUUCCGUAGUUCCGAAUAAUGGAAUUUGUGGAAUUAAUUCAUGCAAAAAUAAACGGGCUUUGGUGGAGCCCCACAUAUGUGAUUUAUGAUUGAUCGAUUGAUUGGUUGAUUUGAUUGCUAUUCAUAUAUGAUUUAUUCUGCUCUAUGAUAUGCAUGUGACUAUUCUUUAAUUGUGCACUAAUCUCACUUCUUGAUAGCGCAUUGAAGAUCGUUGCCCAGGUACGCAUCUGUUUUUAUUCUAGUCUUGCUAUAUGCAUGUUUUGAUACUCAUAUGUGCAUGAUUGAUUCGAGUAUUCAUUGAUUUUCUCAUUGAUUACCAUGUCAGCUCCACUUUAUUAGUAGAGACCCGACUUUAGGGCUUAGAGGAGUGCUACGGUCUUUACCGUACCUUCCCGAUAAGUAACCUGACCCCCGAACCCGAUCCGGUUUUUGUAGAUCACCUUUUCCAAAAUAAGGAGUCACACUUAGGGUUUUUCUUUCUUAUUUUGUUUACCCUUUAAAAAUAAAACAAAAAUAAGUGGCGACUCCAAGUCAUUUUCAAAUAAUCAAUAAAAAUCAAUUUUUCAAAUCAAAAUCGAGCUCGCCAUCGAGUGGGAAACGCAUUCGAGCGAUCGGAAAUGCGGGGUCCACAGAUUUUUAAUUUUUCUAAAUUAUUAUAAUUUGUUAUUAACUUUGUAUCUUACUCAUUUUCGCAUAAAAAAAUAUUUUUACCUUUAAAAAACAAAAAUAAUAAUAAAUUUACCUUAAAAAAGAUAAUAAUAUUUAAAAAAAUGAAAUGUUAGUCCCUUUAAAUUUUAAAUUUUAAAAGCUAUUUUUUUCAUAAGUUUCAGUGUGGCCCACACUAAAUUGUUUAGCAAACUAUCAUUUUCAUGUGGUGAAUUGGAUUAUCUCGAAGCAACAACUUCCUAAUAAAAUAAAAUAAAAUAAAAACACCCAACAAAUUAGUUGAACCAUGCUACCAAUAAUUUGUGUUAUUUAAGGGGAAAAAAACAAAACACAUUCAUUUUAAAAUUAAAAAUAUUUUUUAAAAAGUUAUUAUAGAUUUAAGUAGAAUUGGGUUGAACCAAGAUUGAUUUUUAAUUUAUCAACAAUAAAAAAAUAAAUUAAACAUAGAUAAUAAAAGUAUUGUAUAUAAAAUAGGAUUUUUAAUUUUUCCAAAUUAUUAUUAUUUGUUAUUAACUUUAUCUUACUCAUUUUCGCAUAAAAAAAUUAUUUUUACCUUAAAAAACAAAAAUAAUAAUAAAUAUACCUUAAAAAAGAUAAUAAUUUAAAAAAAAAUGAAAUGUUAGUCCCUUUAAAUUUUAAAUUUUAAAAGCUAUUUUUCAUAAGUUUCAGUGUGGCCCACACUAAAUUGUUUAACUAUCAUUUUUCAUGUGGUGAAUUGGAUUGUCUGGAAACAACAACUUCCUAAUAAAAAAUGAAAUAAAAUAGAAUAAAAAAGAAACCAGGAAACAAAUUAGCUGAAUUAUGCUACCAAUAAUUUGUGUUAUUUAAGGGGAAAAAAACAACACACAUUCAUUUUAAAAUUAAAAAUAUAUUUUUUAAAAUUAUUAUAGAUUUAAGUAGAGUUGGGUUGAACCAAGAUUUAUUUAUUUAUUUAUUUAUUUUGAAUAGGUGUAUUAGCCCAAAUUACAGCCCUAUGAAAUUCUGUUAAAAGUAUUUACAAAUUAAUAAUCCAUCCUUUGAAGUGUUGGAGUGCAUAGAGGGUCAAAAAAGGGGACCGUUUAGCGCGUUGGCGUGGAGCGCAGGCCCUUGAACUUUUGUAACGCGGUUCACACUCCCAAAUACUAUGACUGAUUCCACUCGUCAUAUGACAAGAGAUUUUACAUCAAAGAAAAUACAAAUGAGGAUGGAAAAAGAAAAACACCAACCGGCGUAGUUGAAAGUUGAAACUGAAUGUAACAGAAAAGUCGAUCGGCCGUCACCCAACCAUUGAUUCCAUCCCCCUCGAGGCGCGCCAAAACUCUCUCUUUCCCUCUCCCUUAUCUCUGAAUCGCUGUGUCUGCAAGACGCCAUUAGAACGGUGUUGGCCAUGGCUUCUCAGUCGUUGUGCAACGGCGAGAGAGCCGUGGUCCUCCUCUUCAUCUCCGCCAUCCUCUUCUCCACUCCCUCCUCGCUUUUCUCCCAAGCCCUGGUUCUCUUCCUUCUUGCCAUCGCCGCCCUCUUCCUCGACAUUCGCCUCGACAAUUCCAAUUUCUCUGUCCCCUUCAAGACCAGGUUUUUUCAUUAUUUUCUCUAAAUUUCAACGAAUUUUCCUCAUGCUUGUCAAAAUUUGCGUUGCAUUUUCUUUGGGGCUUUUAAUUUGGUUUCUGUUGGUGGUUUGAGGGUGGGAUUGAGUUUCCCGGAGAAAACGCGGGAAAAAAUUGAGAGAAAUUGAAAGAAAUUUGUGAAUUUUGUAGUUUUUGUCCUUUUUGUAUGGAGAAAGUUAAAAUUGUCAUGGAUUUAUUAUUAUGCUACAGAGUUGUGUUAGGUCCAAUUGAGUAGACGCUUUUGCUCAUUCAGGUCAACGGUGGAAAAUCUAUGUUUCAGGAUUUUUAAUGUCUUCUGUUUUCCUAAAUUUGAUCAUAAGGUAGUGGUGACUAAUGGUGGAUUAGGGUUUAUCUCUGAAUGAAAUUUGUAGUUGCUAGUAACAUUUACAUAUGUAUAAUAGAAUCACAUAUGACUUAGCUUUCGGUUAUUUAGGGAUUAUGGAUGACAUGAUACUCGUCCAGGUUAUUGGUUAUCUUGUAAUUCUGAAUCUUUUUUUUGCAUUUUUUUUAAAAAAAUUAUUUCCAGGCCAGGUGCUUCGUCAGGGAUAUUUCUGGGGGCAGUUACACUGCCUGCUGUUAUGAUCUCAAGGUUGAUUCAGCUAUCAAGAGCAUUCUCGUUGCAUGAAGUUGGAAUUAAAGGUAUUUGAAGUACUCCCUUCAAUGCUUAUAAAUUUUCAAAAUCGAAGAGUUCAUGUUUAUAAGGUGUGACUAUAUCAUUUACAGUGGCAUUCACUUACCACAUGUUUCCUCUUUUCUCAGAGGUUGGAACCCACUUUGUGAGGGCUAAGAGUAUAAACAUGAAAUGCGCAUCAUUAUCUUUUUGUACUAACAUUCAUUUGGAUAAACCCAAUCGGCAUUUUUAGGUAGAAAUUCCAUGUGUACAUGCUGUAUUUGUUUGUUGAAAAUAUAGUUUCAAUUGCCAAAACUAGACUACAUGUUAAUUUUCAGAGUAACCUACAAAGACACUUUAAGAUCCGAUGGUUUUUGGUUGAGGAAAGCCUCAAAUAUAUAGAUUAUAGGUUUGAUAAAAUAAUUAGGAGAGGCGAGCAAACGAUGAAAUUUAAUGGACAAUCAAUGUCAAGAAGUGAUUUCUUUAUGCUUCGUUUGGAUAUACUUUUUUUUUUUUUUUUUUUAAAUUAGAAACUUACAUAUAAAAUGUAGAAACUUUUAUGAAAAAGGUAUAGACUUACCUUAUAUCCUUAUCUUAAAAAAUUUAAUGGACAAUGGAUGUCAAGAAGGGAUUUCUUUAUGCUUUGUUUGGAUAUACUUUUUGUUUUUUAUUUUUAAAAUUAGAAACUUAUAUAUAAAAUGUAGAAACUUUUAUGAAAAAAGUAGACUUACCUUAUAUGCUUAUCUUAAAAAAUUUUUAAAUUUGAGUUAAUAAAUUGUUUUUAAUUAAGGACCUUAAUUUUUUUAAUUAGUUUUUAAAAACCAUUAACAUUUCAAUGUAAGCCUCUUAGAGUUCUAAUAUUCUAUAUAGAAAUUGCUAUUAUUCUUUAUUUUUAAAAAUAGAAAAAAUGAAGUGUAUCCAAACGGACGCUUAGUUGAUUUGAUUUUCAUAAGGGGGGGACAUUGGAUGGGGUUCAUAGGAAUAAAGUAAGAUGGAUGGAGUGGCGCCUUUGGAGUGUCAUGAGAUUGUAGACCAUCUAUUAAGUGUUCUCUAAUCUUAUAAUACCCAUGGAUUAUGGUGUUGGAAGAGAAAGAUAAGGUGAUUUGGAUAUAGUCAAAGAAUGGUAAGUUUUCUGUUAAAAUCCUUUACUUGGCUUUGGAGCUAGGAAGUUUAGUAUCUGUUCCGGAAAGUGUUAUUUGGAACUCUUGGGUGUUUCUAAAGGUGGAUUUUUUGCUUGAUAGGCUACAUGGGAAGGUUUCAACCUUGGAUCAUUUAGAGAGGAAAGGAUGGUCUUUGGCAAACAAAUGUUUUCUUUGUCAUUUAAAGAAAGAAUUCAUUGAUCACAUUCUUAUUCACUAUAUAUAUCAAGACAAGGAUUUUAUGGCAUUUAUUGUUUUCCCUAUUUUCCGUGUCUUAGGUGUUACCCUCUUAGGUUAGAGAUACACUAUUAGGAUGACAUAACUCUUUCAUAGGUAAAAAAAUGGAAAAAGGCAUGGCAUGCUACUCCCGUAUGGAUCUUUUAGACUGUUUAGAAGGAAAAGAACAAUAGAUAUGUGAAAAUGAGGAGCAUUCUGUUCUAAGGGCUGAAACACUCUUUUCUUUGUAAUAUUUGGGCUUAGUCUUAGUUGUUUAUAAUUUUUGGUCCUUCACCUUUAGUAGAAUUUGAUGAUUGGCUGGGCUCUUAUUAAGGGAGGAAGAUGUGGGGGGGAGGGGUUUGUGUAUACUUCUUGUGUACUUUGGGGGCGCUCUGUUAAUGUUUACUUUUUGUAAAUUCUCUUGCUUUACCCAUACAAAAAUGGCUUAUGUACUGGAUGCUAGAAGAAGGAACAUAUUUGAAAAUGAGAGCAACUUAAAUCAGGAUGUAAAGGUGGAUGAGUACCCAAAGAGAUGGAAUAAGACAUGAAUUCUUUCAUGAAAAGUUAUAGGUAGCAUCAAUUCAUGAUAAGAGGUAACAAUGUAAGAUGGUUUAAUUAUUUGCAUUAACAUCAGUGAUGGAAUUGGACUAGUGAAGUGGAGAGGUAUGAUUUAAGAUGAGGGAGCACUAGAACAAGUGGAAGGCUAAAAAAAUAUGGGUCAAUACCAAUGUUUUAAAAGGCUAAAGGCAGCUUUGAUGCGUUUUGCCCCAAAUGAGGUGAGGCAUAAGCCUUGAGGUGGAUCAAAGUGUAAGCCUGAACCUAACAAAUAAAUAAAUAAAAACUUAUCAAAAGAAAAAUGAUAAUUAAAAAAAUAUAUUAAUAAAUCACAUGAAAAUUGAACAUAAGAAAUCCAUGCACUUUGUAAUAAUCAAAUUAGUUGUUUAUCAGUAUUAAUAGUUUCUUAUUUAAUUCCUCUCUCUGUCUUCUAAAUUCAACUCUCUCAUAGCUUCAUCAAAUAUCCUUCAAGACUGUCAUUGCUACCACUAGUAAGGAUCAUCCAAGGAACCAUAAUCGUAUCCAAUCGCUAUCAUUGUUAAUGUCUACACAUUCUUCUUCUUCAUCCAUCAAUUAUAGUGGUCUUUCGUUCUUUAUUUAUCAGUAAUAUGAAAUUAAUUAUAUCAAGUUCAACCAUUACAAAGGCCAGCAACUUCUGUAUUUCUUCUUCCCAAGCUCUUUCUUCCCCCUCCAUUUAAAGGAUUAAUUGGUGGCUAACUAAGCCUUACUUUAUAAAAGGUUUAACCCUAGUUUUUUUUCUAAUAGGAAAAACUGAAUAUAUAUUAACAACACCUAAAGAAAAGGGCGCAUCAGAGUUCACACUAUGAAUACAAUAGCACAAGUAGGCAAGCAAAAAAGAAGGUAGAAAACAAAUAAAAAACAGGCUUCCUCUCCUUACAUGGAGCUAUGUCAAUCAACAAAUCCUAUCAUAGUCAUUGAAUAAUCAUUUAUGUACAUCUAACCCUAGUCUUGAACUUAAGACAAAACUUAUUAAUCUAUAUCAAAAUCUCAUAAAAGCACAAUUUAUUAAACCGUGAAUAUUGAGGCUUAAACAUCUUACAAUAUAUAUAUACAUAAAGCCCAUAAAAGCCCUAAACCCAUUAAAACCUUUUGAAUAUUUGAGACAUAAGCCUCAAUAGGGCUUUUAUGGGCUUAAGCCUUGAUUAUCUGUACUGAUGCUUUAGCCUCAAGGCUAAUUUUCAUAGCUUCACUUUGAGGCAAGCCUCAAUAGCCUUUUAAAACACUGGUUAAUAUCAUGAGAAAAACUUAAUUUCCAAUGCUUAACAAGGGAUAUGGCUUUGUUGUGUUGAGUUUAACUUGAGCAAAUGAUAACUUAGACUCACAUGUUUGUUCUGGUAAGACGCACAAGAAAUUUUGUAAUUUUGUUACAUUUAUAUCAGUUAAUGAUAAGAUUAAAUAUGCCAUAUUGUUUGCCAAUUUUCUUAUCGGUUACGUUGCAUUGUAUUAUAGAAAAUCUGGAUGGAGAACAAUUUUUUAUGGUCUUGCUAACUUUAAUUUUGGGGCAUUUUGCAUAUUAAAUUGAAGUUUGGAUGUUUUGGAUUUAAGUAUGAGUUACCCAUUUUAAACAAUGCUAGGCAGUGUUCUUUUGUAGGAGCCAGGAUUGUUUAAUUUUUGAAUUUGACAAGGCCAGUGGUUUUAUUUAUAAAUUCCAUGAUCCCAGAAAUCCAUAAGGAGUUAAAACUGACAAGAUUUCAAAUUGCAUCAUAAUGCCUGGGAUUGAUAAACCUUGCAUUGUAUUUGUUAAAUGGGGUGGAUUUACUUGCUGUGCAACUCCCAGUUUAUUCCAUUAGGGAAGAGAGUCUAUUAGUUUCAACUGUGGAUGAGUUCUUUGGUGGAUUUAAUUCAUUAAAAAAAAAACCCAGAGAAUUAGGGGAUGGAGGGAAGGGAAAAUGCAUUAGUGCUUGUAAAGAUAGGGGAAAGAGAUUGUACUAAGUUAAAAAAUAAAAAGAAAUCUUGUGUUUGGAUAUGACAUUAUGCAGGUCUUUCCCACCUCAGUCAAAGACCUUCUGCUGGACCGGAGUUUCGGAGGCUAGAUAAAUGGCAUAAAAAGGUUUCACAAUUGGCUCCCUUUUGCUUGUUUUGGUGUAUUUAAAGAGAGGUUAACGAUCAAGUUUUUAAUGGAGAAGAGCAUUCAAAUCAAAAGCUAAAGGAAAUUUCCAUUAAAUAUCUUUAUGUUAGAAUUGGAAAAUUGUACAUUGAUAGAGCUUACUGAUAGUAUAGACUGUAGAUGGCUUGAUUUAGCUUUGCUGUUUUUUGGUGGGAAGUUUGGUUUUCCUGUUUCUUUUGUGCCCCUUGUACACAUGUUGUGUAUAUAGGGUGUGUCCUCUUUUGGUUUGGUGCCUUUAACUAGAAUUUUGUUUGCCUAAAAAAAAAAAGGAUAAUGUAUAAUUUCUAUUUUAUGCAGUUUUAAUAUUUAAUUGUUAUAAACCUUAUUUAACUGUUUGAAUAGAAUAAUCAAGAUCCUGUUGAGGGAGAACUCAUCAUUGAAUUAAUUAAAAGAAGGGUGGAAAUGGGAAUGUACCUUUUAGUCAAUAAAAUGAAAAAAGGGUUGAAGUUAAUAUGCUUGUGUCAUAGUGGAACAAAAGGAGCAAUUUAGACCUUUUUCUUGACAAAUUUUGUGCAUGACUUUGUUGUUCUGGCUUUCAAUUGAUCACUCCCUAUUUCUUCCAUAAUGGUUUCCAUUCUAUCUUACAAAGAAGAUUUCUCAGGAUUUUCAUUAACUGAAGUGUUUUCUAUUCCAUCUCACAAACUUUCUUGUGCUAUCAUCCUUUAUAUUGACAGUGUUGUUAAAUCCUUUUGUUUAGAGCUUGGAUAUUUGAAAGUGCAAUAUUGGGCCACUUCUGCCAGCUGCUUCGGUGUGCUUAUUUUCAUUUUCUUACUCAUGCGGCGUUCUCCCAACAAUAGCUGCUCCUUUUCUUCGAACAGUCCUCAGGGUUUGAAGUUUAGCUCAAGUUGCGUGGUUUCAUGUGCAGUGUUGUGCUGUGUGUCUUUUGCUAUAGUAUCAUAUUAUGGUGAGUUCUCAAUUCUGCACCUACUGUACCAUUUUUGUCUUGCAUGGGUUGAGACUUGAGAUAUGAUGAGGUGCUCAUUUUAGUUUCUUAUUCUAUUUAGACUGACUAUUUCUAACCCAGAGGUGCUUACUAAUGUUAUAUCUUUUGUAGUUCAGCUAACAAAAGAAUGUAUGAUUAAUAUUUUUAUUUACUCAUCUAUUACAGGAUUGCACACAGUACUACUGUUACUGUGGGUGCUCUUUCAUGGAGUGGCAGCUGUGAAAUUAAUUCAGCAUGUUCAUAAUACUUUUCCAUCAUGUGCUUCCAUUGGUGUGUAUCAUGCUACUACUCUUCCAUUAUCAUUUUUGUUUGCUGAAUGCAGAAGCUUUCCAUAUUUAACAAAAUGAUAAAAUAACCUUAGAACUUAUGAUAAUGAUAACGUUCAUUUUCUCAUCAGUUGCAUGCAUAUGAAAAUAGCUUUUGUUGCUUUUUAAAGAAAAUGUACUAGUGAUAAGACAACUUCCUGCCACUGAAAAUGCUUGGCACUUGAAAUUUAUGUAUAAAAGUAACCCCUGUCACAAGUGUAUGAAUAUUGUAAAUAUUUACCUGUUUUUAAUUGUUUUUAUACAUUUUAAUGUUUUUAUUUAAAAAUAUGAUUGAAAUAGGAAACCUGUGUUCAUUUUGGAAACCUAUGUUCAAACUCUGAGUUGUAGCCUGGUAUAAAUGUUCUAACAAAUUUUAAGCAUUGUUAGGUUGAUAUUUUGGAAGGGUCUGUCAAGAUUUAUAUGCCAACACUGGAGGUUGAAUCACUGUGGCAAUGGUUUCCUUUUGUGGAGGAUAUACUUUUGUACAUCCUGAGCUUUGUACAAAAGUAUGUCCCCCACAAAAGGUAAAAUAAAUAUCUAGUUUUCCUAUAUGUACAUAUAUAUAUAUAUAUAUAUAUAUAUAUCCUGUUUUCCUAUGAAAAAUACUAAUUUGCUUAGCUUAACCUAAUUUUACCUGUCUGUCAUCUCCUCAGUGACUAUCAUUUCUCUCUCUUCUUAGGAGAAGCACUUCUGGUGACUUCUGGUCUGGUUCUCUAUUUUGGCGACAUGCUAGGAUGUACCAUUGCAAAGGUCAGUUCUUUUCUGUGUCAUAUGUUUUUUACUUAUUCCUGGAAAAGUCAGCAAUGUAUUCAUUUUUACAGGCAAUGUAAUUGUUUGAACAGAUUGAUGGAUACUGGAUACCAUUAGACUUACAGUAUGGAGCUAAAAGAAGUGAGAUUAGUACCAUCAUUCAGGUAUGGUUCUUUGAGUUAUGAAACUGGUUGUGAAUGUUUAACUGGAUAAGAAAGGAUUUUCUCUUACUUGCAGGGAGUGGUGCUUGGCCUUCUUCUUUUUCCAAUAUUCUUUAAAUUUCUUCUUCAAAUUUGGGAACACAUUGCAAGUUCUGGUCACUCUGAAGCAAGGGCGUGCAAUGAGAUUGGGAAAUCUCUUAUUUUCCAUACUUCCCUUGCAUUUAUCUUGAUUGUGAUCAUCCCAUUAUGGAUGCAGUUUGUUCUGGAUUUUCAUAUGCAUCCGCUGUUAUGGUAUUUACUUCCUUCAUGCUUCAUUUUAUUUUGACAUAUUUAUUUACUUUAGUGCAUUUUAUUUGUUAUCAUCUCAUCUGAGGUGGAGUUGAGCAAGUUUUUGAAUUUACAAAGUGGUUGCCAUUGGUUUCAUGUGAAAUGGAGGAGAUGGAUGUAUCUUAUCCGGUGUCAAUACUUUGUUAUGCAUGGGCAUGCGUUAUAUGAUUACAAAAAUUAAGGCCUUGUUUGUUAUGUUGGAUUAGUGGUCAAGAGAUGAUAGAAUAUAUACUAAUGUGUGGUUUGUUAUUAGAUAAAAAUUGCUUUAUAAGUAGCUUAGACUGCAUGGCUUUUCAUUAAAAAUUAAUAAUAUUAAUUGCUAAAACAUUUAAAAUUUAAUAAUAGAUAAAAUAAAUAUUAAAUUAUAUAUAUAUAUAUAUACAUACAUACAUAUACAUUUUCUUUACUUUGUUUUUUUUUUUUUUUGGAUUAAAAAUUUAAUUUUUUGGAAUAAUAAAUGUUGUACCACAUUACUUCACAAGAGAGAGAAAGAGGCUGGAGAGAUUGAAGUAAUGAAGGAAAAUAGAAAAGUGAAAUGAUUCAUGAGAUAAGUAAUAUCUCGUCUCUUUAGUAAGAUUAUUAAAUUUUAUAUAGAGGUAAUAUAAACAAGACUCAAGAUAAGUUAUCACACUCACUUAUCCUAUUAGUUGGUUCCAAAAAUAGGAAAAAAAAUGAGAAUAAGAUUUUUACAUCCUAUUCCUGCCUACUAAAUAUGGUCCUUGUAAGUUACAGCAUUGGGGAAACUGUUGUAAUAUUUUUGUCUUGACCUGUAGUGGUACUAAGCUUUAGGACUGCAAGUUAUACUGCCUGGUAAUAUUUCAGUGGAACUGUUUCCAUGAAGGGUGGGUGGAAAGGAGGCCUCACAACGACAUGUAAUUUCUUUUUAAUAAUUUCUGGUAGUUUGGGCCUACAUUUUGCAUAGGGCUAGGAAAUGACAUGUAUGUGCAUAGAAUACAAUGACUAAUGAAAAUUCAAUUCUAUGGGUGAUUGUUAUUCACGUGAGUGCUCAUUCUUGGUGGAGCAUAAUUCUAAAUCUUAAUGGAUCAUCAAUCUCAAUACACCUAUAUCUCAAGGUCUUUUAUACAACCAUUGCUGAAAUCCUAAACAUUCAAAUUGAUUCAAUAUAAUGCACAUGUUUGUAAAGCCCUAAAAACACUUCAAAACACAUGAAAGUGCUUGUAAAAUAGGGCUCCUUUAGCUUUGGGUAUUUCUACACAUGUUAUGAAAAUGUUAUAUCUUUUGAAAAAAUAAAAGUAGAUAAAAAGGCAAACAAGUCAUUGAGAUUAUUUUGAACCAAAGAAUGUGAAAGUUUGUUCUUAAUAACAAAACUACCUAGAAGUGGUGAAUAAAUAGUUCAAGCUUCAUGUAUCCCAAUUUAAAAAUUUGUUUGGAUUUUCUUCUAUAUCAAUUAAUUCAAUCGGGAAUAUAAAAAGAUCAGUCAACACAAGGAACACCAAAUAUACUUGAAAAAAAUAUGUAUGGAUUCUUUUAGAAGCUCUGUUGAUGUAAAAAAACCUUGAGUUACACAACCUUAGAAUAAAUUUCCAAAAUUUGAAAAGAAAAGGUACAUUGUUUUACCUAAUCCGGACACACCUACUUUACCUAAUCUGGUGCACCUACCCUAAGAGUCUUAUACAAUUAGCACCUACACUUUUCUCUCACAUAUGCAACACAACACUUCAUGCCCCUUAAUGGAUUACUUUAAAAUUGUAUGAGGCAAGCAGUUCAAUGCAUCACGCCUUUCUACAGAAAGGACUUCCAAGAAGGCUGUUGAAAGAGUUUGAGAGUUAAGAGUCUCAAGGUAGAAUAAUGGCUACGAGAUCACUUGCCUCAUUCUUAGUCUGGAAUGCUUGGUUUUUAUAUCAAAACCCUAGUUGGAUAUUUAGAGUAGGUUUUUACAAAGUAAGUUUACCAAAAAGUCUAAUAAAAGUGAAAAAAAUCGAGCUAAAAAAAAAAAAAAACAAUUUGGAAGAAUUAGGGUUCAAACUUCAUGUAGGGGCCAUUUGAAUCUUGGAGGACUUUUGAAUGUUCAUUCAUAUUUUCAAAAUUUUCUUCCAUUUUUCAAUUUUUUUUCCCCAAAUUCCAUUUCCUUUACUUAUCAUAGCCAUUUACCAUACUCUAAUACUUCCAACACAAAUAUACAUCAAAUGAAUUCAACUCUUUAGCAGCUUGAAGUCAACUACAACCUGGUGGAACAAGGGAGUUUGUGGUUCAUGGUGUAAUUAUAAGGAGUGAGGAAACAUGAAAUGUUUUGAAAACCUAGUAGUUGUAUCUAGUUUUUGUUCUUUGUAAUAUUCUAUAUGGUAUAGUCAAAUGAUUCUCACAUCCAUGAACAUAGGCAUGUUGACCGAAUCACGUUAAAACCUCAUGUAUCUUUGUGUGGAUUCCUUUAUCUUUGUGUUUUUGAACUAACAUUAUUUGCAUUAAAACUUCUGUUGGGUCAAUAAUUGUAAGGUGAUUUUUUGAGCUCUGACCUUACUAGGAAUUUGAUGCAAUCACUAAUAUUCUACAAGCCAAUUUCUCCCCCUCAUAACUCACAUUGAUUUCCUCAUUCUCACUUUGUUGAGUCACAUAUAAUUUGAUCACUUAUUCACAGGCAAUGAAUGGAUCAUCUUGGAAAGUAGUCCUGAGUUAUAUCCGUUCAUUUUGGCCCAUUUGCCUGUCAUCUUGUUAACCCAUCCAUGUCUGUUGUAAUUCAUGUGCACAUCAUUUGAAUCAAGGGUACUAAAUUUUGCAUAUGUUUGUUUUGGAAAUUAAUUUGGUCGGCUGCUUCUUGCUGAUAAUCAUAGCUUUGUUCCAAUACUAAGUGAUUCUUUAUAUCUCAUUAUUUCAUCUGGAUAACCUGUUAUCUUAUCAUCAGUUAUUUUAUGGCAGGAUAUUCAAAUUUGUUUUCUCGGAACCACUUAAAAGACUAUCAUUGUGUAUUUAUUGGGUGGGCGUUAUAUAUGCAUCAAUUCUGCGGUUUUACAACAUCUCAAAGAAUAGUAAAGUGGAGCGGAUUCUUCUUCGCAAAUACUAUCAUCUGAUGGCUGUUUCGAUGUUUCUGCCUGCUGUUAUCUUCCAGGUGAAUGAAACAAGGAUAUUUUGUUAUCUUGUUUUCCUUUUAUCUUUUUCAUCUCUCUUUUUCAUUUGGGCUAUAUGUUAUUCUUCUAGCAUUUUGCUUAGAUAUUCUAUUGACUAUUCAUUUCUUCUUCCAGCCAAAGUUUCUUGAUCUAGCCUUCGGUGCAGCUUUGGCAGCUUUCUUGACAUUAGAAAUUAUUCGAGUAAGUUCUGCAGCAUAUUUGCUCACAGUUGAUACUGACAUUAUGAUGUUUUCUUAACAUAUAAGAAAUAAUUACAUAGCAUAAAGUUUAAUUGCUGUGGCUCUUGUCUUUCACUUCCAUCACUCAAGAUUUAUGUUGGUACUGCAGUAUAUAUUGCAUACUAGAAAAGGAUAAUGAUGUGUUGAACUUGGACAGAAAGCAUGGAAUUUUUUAGAAAAUGUGUGUAAUUUAUAAGUGUAGGUUAUAGCAAUGUUACCCAUCAAAAAAAUAAGGUACUGUUACAGAAAACAUGCAUGUGUGUGAAAAACUCCAUAAGGAUUCUAGAUAGAGUCCAUGAAUACAAAAUUAAUUUGCAGGUGACCCCAAGUAGUUGUUGUGAUUGAGGCUUUGUUGAAUUGAGUUGUUUGGAAAUUGUUAAUUAGGGCAUAUUGCAAUUUUUUUUCCUUUUUUUGGAUAGGUAAAUUCUUGUCCCUGAUGGGACUUGAACUUGGAACCUCCCACAAACCCAUCGGAGCAUAUUGCAAAAAUUUUAGUACACAUAAAUUAAGUUAUACUUAUCAAAACAGUAUUACACAAAUAAUCAUAAUAUCACAUACCUUUAGACAUCAGUACUUGUUACUUAUGUGCCUUGUGGGCAAAUUGAUGCAUUGUCCUUCAUUUGAUUUGAUUUACUGAUGAACAUCUGAAAGAAAAAGUAAUGUAAGUCAGGAAUGAUGCAAACAUUAUAUCAAGAGUAAAUCAUCCCCAUCUCUCUAUUCAGGCUCAAAUCACGUCAGGUGUUCCUCAAGCAGGAAAAAAAAGUUUUGAACCUGAUUCAAAUAUGAGUGUUUGAAUGUCCAAAAAUUAGUUUCAAGAGUUUAUCAAUAAUUAAUGACUCUAAAAUAAAUAAUAAAUAAUAAAAUAUCCAAAAUAAAUAAUAAAUGACAAAAUCUAUCACUUCCUAUAUUUAUGCCUGGCAUAAGCGCAUAAGUUAACAUCGUUAUCUCCAUUACUGAACCUAUGAUAUGUCACAUGCAUAUACAAUGUUAAAAUGUUUCAACCACUCCUUUGCUCUGCUCGCAGGUAAUGUGAUAUCUUAAUAUUUUCUCAUGAUAAGUGCUUGAACAAUGUUAAAAUGUUUUUUUGUUUCUUGCUCUCUCUUGGUAAAUCUUGCAUAACCAUACUUUUUGUAGACAGGUAUGGAGAAUUUGGCCCUUGGGACAACUUGUGCACCAGUUUAUGAAUGCUUUCACAGAUCACCGUGAUUCCAAUCUUCUUGUUGUCAGGUAUGAUUUGGUUUUUCCCCAAAUGCUCAAAAUCAUUAGUGCAUAUGUUUGAUUUGAAUAAGUUCUAAUUUGAUAACCUUUUUGUCUUUUGCUAUGUUUAGCCAUUUUUCACUUUUAUUGGGAUGUGCACUUCCUAUCUGGAUGUCUUCUGGUUACAAUGAUCGACCUCUUGCCCCCUUUGCUGGAAUUUUGAGCCUUGGCAUUGGAGAUACAAUGGUGAGUGAUGGUGUUUAGACUGGAAUUGCUUUCUUAGUUACUUUUCUUGUUUGAGCACAAUUAGUAUCUUCAGAUUUUAAAAGUUGUUAGUAGCACAUUAAGGUUGAACAAUCACAAGCAUGUCCAUAUUUCUUUUUAUAAAACUCAAGGUGCAUUAUCAAAUAUUUACUGAGUUAAUAUGUGAUAAAAAUGCCUUUUCCCAAAAUGUAUUUUGAUGCUCAUACAUACAAGUGUGUUUUCUAGCUUCAUGCAAUGUACUGAGAGGAACCAGAGAUCAUUAAAUGUUGGUCUUUAUUAGGAAAUAACAAAAAUUUAGCCAUUAUAUAUUAGGUUAAAUUUUUGAGCUGUGAAAAUCAUUAUCACAUAGAAGCUGUAGAUACAUUUAAUAGCAUAUGUUGAAUUUUAUAAAGUCCUAAAGUUUGAAAAUUUGGCUAGAACCUCGUUUGUUGAGGAAAUUAAAUUAUGUGUAAUAUUUUGAAACUCAAAACCCAACAACAGUGUGACCUAUACAAUUGGAGGAGAGUGGAUGACAAAUGUCAAUGGGUUCCCCUGCAACCGUGGUAGGUUGCCUUAAGUUCAAUUCUAGUGGACUUUUAUUGAGAAAUCCUAGUCAAAUGACCUUUGGGAGUGAUCAUUAGGGAGGUCAAUAAUUUGCCAUUGAAGCAAAAUUAUUGGCCUUAUUUGGGGAUUGGGUAUGGCCUUGUUGAUGGGCUUAGGGAACUUGUCAUGUUCAGGUGUCUCCUGGGUGAUGAUUUUCUGGAUGUUUAUGCAAUGUAGAGGCUCUUGGAGAUACAUUCACUAAAUUGGAUGGAUCCUUGAUUUGGAUACAAAUAUGGUUUCUUCCUUUAGGUUACGGCUUAUGUCAGCUAGGUGUCUAUUUGAUGAAGAGGUCCUUUGAGAUAUAUUUUUCUGAAUUGAAUGGAUGUUUGAUUUGAUUAAAGAUAUGGUUUUCUCUUUUAGGUUGAGGCCUAUGUCAGCUAGAUCUGAAAGAUCAUUGCCUUAUCCGUGUUGAGUUCGUAGGGCCUUUUUGCCCUGCUUGAGGUUUUUGGGUUAAGGAUAAUACCUUGCUCAGUAGAAGCUUUUGUUUUGUACGGCUGCUGGGCUCUUGUACCAUAUGCUUUGUUUGAUCAAUAUGUCAUCGUGUACUUAUCUUCUCUCUAAUGGAAAUUUUCUUUUGAGAAGUAAUCUGGAAUUUUUGUUGAGGGGAAUGAAAAAUUAAACCUUCUUCCUGUGAUGUGAUGUGGCACCUGCUCCUUAUAGUUACACCCCGUGGCACAUUGGAUUGGGGAAUUUGAUGUGUCUCAAUUGAACAAUAUUAGUAAACAUUGGUGAUGUUUACACUUCCUUGGAACUUUUGAUAUGUUCUGACAUAUUAUCAAAAACACACACUACCCUAUUCAACUGGAAUUGCUACUUUAUGGAACAAUAAGUUUGUUAAAUUGUCCAAGGAUGCAUAAGUUUCUGGAGUCUUUCAGAGCAAAAUUAAUAUAUGAUGAUUUGGAGUGUACUUGGAGCUAAAAAGCACGCUUGCUAUCCAGCUCUAUGGGCCUGUGAAGUAAAUUACAGUUUUCCUUCCAUCUCUCUGGCCAAAUACUCUUAGAAGUUAAAGAGUUGAAAUUGAAUAUGUUGUGGGGUGGGAAAGCAAGGGUUGCCUAUUACCAUAGCUUAUGGUUACCAUUGCCUGUAAAAAGAAAGGCUUAUGGUUAAAAUUACCUGAUGGCACUAUAUAAUUUGCUAGUUUAAUACGCAUAAAAUAUUGAGAAAAAGGAACUUCAAUUCCUUUAUGAAUUUGUUGGAUACAAAGGAAAUAUUGGAGCUAUAGAAAACUAAUAUAUGAUGAUUUGGAGUGUACUUGGAGCUAAAAAGCACGCUUGCUAUCCAGCUCUAUGGGCCUGUGAAGUAAAUUACAGUUUUCCUUCCAUCUCUCUGGCCAAAUACUCUUAGAAGUUAAAGAGUUGAAAUUGAAUAUGUUGUGGGGUGGGAAAGCAAGGGUUGCCUAUUACCAUAGCUUAUGGUUACCAUUGCCUAUAAAAAGAAAGGCUUAUGGUUAAAAUUACCUGAUGGCACUAUAUAAUUUGCUAGUUUAAUACACAUAAAAUAUUGAGAAAAAGGAACUUCGAUUCCUUUAUGAAUUUGUUGGAUACAAAGGAAAUAUUGGAGCUAUAGAUAUUAUUUUGCUUAUAAUCCUCUUCAGUGCUACUACCUGCAUAUUUUUUUUCUUAUUUGUUCAUUGAAAUUUUGACAAGUCACUUGAAUGUUUUUGCUUUUAUGUUUAGGCAUCAAUGGUUGGUCACAAGUAUGGUGUCCUCAGGUGGAGCAAAACUGGCAGUAAGUAUUAUCUUUUCUGCCUGUUUGGGCUUUCUCUUUUAAACCACUAACCUGUGCAAAUUUUCCAGAGAAAACCAUUGAAGGUACUGCAGCUGGUAUAACAUCUGUCCUUGUAGCUUGCUCAAUCCUUCUUCCACUUCUGGCUUCAACUGGAUACAUACUUACCCAGGUAGGACUCACUCUCUCUCUCUCUCUCCCGCCCCCCUGAUGAGGAGACUUUCUAAUUUGCUUUUCCAACUAACCCAAAAAAAAAAAUAAAGGGAGAGAGAGAAAAGAGAAGAACAAACUUGGGAAAGUUUUGUUAGACUCUCUUUGUAGUAAGGAAAUUUUCCAAGACUUCCAGAUGUUCUUUUCCAACUAACCAAAAGAUUUUGUUAGUGUAACUCGAUUGUACCAUCUUAUUUGGGUUAUUUGAUAAUUAGUCUAACUUUCUCUCUCGUGAGAAGAUUUUCUAGAACUUGCUAAUGUGCUUUUCCAACUAACCAUAGAGAGAGAGAGAGAGAGAGAGAGAGCUUGGGAAAGUUUUCUUAGUACCUUCCUAUUUGGCUUACUCAAUAGUUAGUCUAACUCUCUGUACUGAGGAGAGUUUCUAAGACUUCAUAAUGUGCUUUUCCAACUAAUCCAAGGGAAAGAGAGACACAACUUGUUAAAGUUUUGUUAGUGUAACGCGACUGUAUUGCCUUAUUUGGGUUCCUCUUGUUGUGUGUGUGUCUAGUAAGGAGACUCUUAAUAUGCUUUUCCAACUGACCUAUAAAAAAGAACUUAGGGAAAGAUUUGUUAAUGUAACUUGAAAGUACUAUCUUCCUUGGAUUAUUGAUACAUUUGUUUUAUACCACUCUUUGCAGCACUGGGUCUCUCUUCUCUUAGCUGUGACCGCAAGUGGUUUGCUGGAGGCCUACACAGCACAGCUUGAUAAUGCUUUCAUACCUCUUAUUUUCUACAGCCUUCUCUGUUUGUAAAUGCGGCUCCAGCCUCCCAAAAAUAAAUGACUGUUGGAGGGCAGUACCAAAUCAUCCUAGAUUUUCCAUGAUUCUUAAUUUUGUGCUUCACUUGAGCACUUGCUUUUAGAUACAACCAACCUAUUAUUAGAGACUAUAACUCACCUGCUGUAUGGUAAGCUCAUUGUCGGCAGGCAUUCUUUUCGGAUUGGGACUGAGUCUUAAUAUUUUAAAUGUAGGUACGUUCGGCACACAUGUAAAUGGAUCUGCACUGGUAGGCUUACAUGUUUAGAGAUCUUAGGAUCUGCACUGGUAGGCUUACAUGUUUAGAGAUCUUAGGAUAGAAUCACAUUUGUAGCGAGAACAAACUUUGAAUGGUUAGAAUGCCUCUAUGUAUUUUAUCAUUUUAUAAAUUAAAUGUUUCCAAGGCAAUAUCUCUCUCUCUCUCUCUCUCUCUCUCUAUCUCUCUAUCUCUCUAUCUCUCUAUCUCUCUAUCUAUCUAUCUAUCUGUUGCACAACAUGGACACUAUUCAACUGCAAAUUUUCUUGGAGAUUAAUAGUCAGUGAGAUAUCUAAGGUGCUGACUUGCCUACUGUUAUUUUAUUGUGUGCUCGUUAUAUUGUGAUUUAUUGUAGAGCUUAACUACUGCUGCUGUGAUAUAAAUGAGGGCCGCCUUGUUGGGAAACCAGAACUGUCUUUGGAAUUGGCAAGCUUAGCAGUAAAGCCCGUACGAUAUAUUUGGGAAACGGAAACCAGGUGCCAUCCUUGGAAUCAGCUAUAUACUAGAUCCGGAGUCUCUGGAUCCCGUAGUCAAUUUAGGCCGACGCGGACGGAGGUGGGUAAUGACAAUAUGUUAUUAUCUAUUUGGGGUUUCUCCAAAAUUCUAUCUUGCCAAACCAUGGAUUGGUGAGCAGGUUGAGUGAAAUGUCUAUCCCUUCGGUGUGAAGCUAUGUUGUGAUAGUUUGCCUUUGAUCGAAUGCCUCUUGGUUUGUUGGGCUUUGUUCUGUGAUGGAAUAUGGAAUGAGGCUUUGAACUUUGUCCUGAUAGAUGAUUCUUAGCAUAAUCUGCCAUCUAUUAUGAUCACAUUUGCAAAACCCCGGGGUGUUAGAACUGGACAAACUAUUAUUGAGAUGCAAGAAUCACAGUAUAUCUAAACCCGGUUAUAGAGUUGGAAAUUUAUGGUGAAGUAGUAUAGCCUGUUGAGAACUUUUCACGGUAUCAGAGUCAGUUGACCCAUGUGAAGACGGGUUGCUAUUGUUUGCAUCUGAUUAAUCCCAUUGGUGAUCUCUGGGCUCACAGAAGCUAUAUGUUGUGCUAUUGUGAUAAAACACAUGCUUGUGAUUGUCUGUUGAGCCUUGGAAGUUGGAAGAGAGCCGUAUGUAUGCAAGACAACCUAAAGAAGGCAGCUUUAUUGUUUAUCAGAGACUGGUUUUUCAGGGGCAGCCUGGUCAUCACUCAUCACCGAUUCUCUUGUGAAAAUGUUUUCAAUUAUUAUACAUGUCUUAUUAUGCUGUUACAGUGUUCAGCGCAGAUGCAACUCCCUAUCCACAGUCCUCGGAUGCCUGACAAGGGAUCUUCAAGUGUAUGCCAAUCGCAAGUAUAACUUCAGUGUGUUUCGCUAUGAUCUACCCUUGAAGAAAUUACCGAUCCAUGAAUUUUCUUCCGGAAGUUUAGUAGAGUUCAUUUAGGAAAGGACUUCAGUUGGGAAGAUGUCAGUGCAUGUUCUCACAGGGUUUCCUCUAUCUAAUGAAUGGAACAAAUCCUGGCUCUCACGUCUCUUAGGAUCCGGGUUUUCCAAUGAAAUCACAAUAUUCUUGUAACUUUUUUUUUUUUUUUGGGAGCAACACAGUUACCGUUUAGUGAUGGGGGGGGAGAAUGAAGAAAGAAGGUGGUGCUGGUGAUCUAGUUAGAGCAGAGAACUCCAGAGAAAACACGAGGACAAACAACACCGGAGAGACAUCAGAAUAAGUAGGGGGGACACGAAGGUUUAACAGAAGAAGAAUAGGAGCUCCACCUUUGGGUUGUUUAUGAUUACAGCAGGAUCUUUAGUGACUUGGGUGUUUUAUGUCUUUUUAUUUCUCUGUUAUUUUUAUUUUGACUUUAUCUAUCACAAUUCUACGCGAAACUCAGCCCCUGAUCCCAUCCCUUAGGUUGCAGUGGCUGGAUACUGCAGCAUACCUAGUCAGUGUCAUUAACUCUUUGUAAAAAUUUUAAGCUGAUUGCCACCUCUCCAAAGGAAAAGUUAAUUAAUUGUAUCUUAAACCUACCCUUAUGUCAAUGUAGCCCAGCAAAUAACCAACAUUUAAGAAGGCAGGGCAGUUGAUCCAAAAAUUCCAGUUGCAAGUGAGCUGCAGGUACUAUUGCAUGAUGAGCGAUAUAUGCUGGGCACCUUCAGAUGACAUGUUUGUGGAAUUAAUGUUUCGGAUAGAACGUUUCAUUCAUCUCCCUUUGGUUUAGAGAAUUUAAUGGAACCCCCAGUACUUCUUUCCAAAUUCAUGAAAGGAUACAGCUGCUAUUGAGUGAGCACUCAUAACACUUGAAAUAGAAAUGUCAGGUUUCUGACAGACAGAUAUUUUCCAAUUAUUACUAGUAGUAGUUGUUUUCGAGUGUAUGGCCUUUCUCAGUACCCAUCACUGUAAUCAUUAUUUUAUGCUGCGUCUGCCCCAUAUCUAUCCCCAUUUCACAAGAAUCCACCCCUUGUCCGUAUUAAUUUGUUUGAUAUUUUUGAGCUCCCUAACAGUGCUGGAAACAUGUACUGCAUGCAUACUUAUUUUCUCCAAUGGGUACCAAAACCCGCGGCCUGUAGAGCACGCCGUCACCAGUACUGCAUGUGCAUAUAUCGUACCGUGCCUUGCCAUGUUCUCUUUGGGUGGAGUUUUGGCAGGUAGCAUGAGUGCGACAUGGAUUUUAUUGGCUUCCGCCUAGUUGUGUAAAUGGUGAACCCACCCACAAUGUAAGAUUAAUUGAUCUUGACCAUGAAGUCAUACCUAACAAGCCAGCUGACUGAUACAUGCAUGAAGACUCGAAUACAAUUCCAAUUGACUUGCAGAUCUAACUGGACUUCAGGAGGAAGAAAUUAAACUGUUUUUAGGAGGCAAAUUAAGGACUUGUAUAAUUAAAUAGGUCUUCUCCCCAAUCAACUGAAUGGGAGACUCGUGGAAUCAAUGCAGGCCACAUGCCGAUAGGAUAUGGGAUAAGCAUAAAUGUGUGAAGGGCAUUAAUUCUCAUGGAUUUUAGGGUAAAAUCCCACUUUCAGAUAACAUCUCCUGGCAAUGGAACUUCAUUCGGGCACAAGAAAUCAUGUUACAGUUUUGGAAUUAAUGAUCAGUCAGUAUGAUAAUAAUCAUUCUUUGAGGAGGAGGGUUCAUAAAUAUUAAUUGGAAUUACAGUAUAUCUACUUUAAAGUAUGAUUAGAAGUAGAAUAAUGACAGGAAGAUGCCCAUAGAAAUGAUGCCGAAUAAUAAGAUCAUGGUCACUGUGUGUUGGUGAAACAAGCAAGAGUGCAGUUAUAAUUUCCUUUUUGCCUGUUGAUGGGUGGGUGGUAUUUUUUUAUUUCAUGAGAGGCCAAUCACCGAUUAAAUCAAUAAGCUUCAAAUGCAUGUUGUAGGGCCUGUAAUGCCUGUCCUUUUUAAGCAAAAGUAUGUCCUGCGCAUGCAAGAUACCGCAUAUUGAGGAACAAGGUUCCUGUGUGACCGUCAAUCUCCAAAUAAUUUGAUGAUGACUACCAGUGUGAUGUGAAUAUAAGAAAUGCAUGACGCCCCAACUCAAAUUUAGUUGCUCUAACAUGGGAAGUUUCAAAUGUAGAACAGGAGCCUGAAUGUAAGGUACACUCGGUAGAUCUUGAAAUGUGGAUAUUUUAAGUAGGCACAUUAAGAGCAUGUGUAUAAAUAUGUGCAUAAUAAAAGGGGACCAUGCAUGUAGAUACAUAAGGGUGUACAAGCCAAAUGGUGAUAUGGGGCAACCCUAGAAUAGUUACCGUGCUAUUCCACAUCAAAUAGAAAAAGAAAUAUAAGAAAUGCAUGACGCCCCAACUCAAAUUUAGUUGCUCUAACAUGGGAAGUUUCAAAUGUAGAACAGGAGCCUGAAUGUAAGGUACACUCGGUAGAUCUUGAAAUGUGGAUAUUUUAAGUAGGCACAUUAAGAGCAUGUGUAUAAAUAUGUGCAUAAUAAAAGGGGACCAUGCAUGUAGAUACAUAAGGGUGUACAAGCCAAAUGGUGAUAUGGGGCAACCCUAGAAUAGUUACCGUGCUAUUCCACAUCAAAUAGAAAAAGAAGAGGCUCCUUAGAAGAAGUAUAUAUAUAUAAACUCUCUUAAUUGUGUAUACAUGUUUUGAAGUUACAAAGGUAUAUUGAGCUUAAAUUAGAUAAUAUUCAUAUAAUUGAAAGUAAAUUAUUAUAUAAUGGUAUCAGAAUUGACCUCUAACCCUAAUGUGAGAGUUUAUUCAGGUUUUAGCCUGGAUGGUAUUUGACCUUAUAAUCUUGUGAAACACAAUAAAGACAUUGUGUCGGUAUGAAGAGUGAUUGUGAUAUCUAUGAGUGCCUAUUUGGCUCAAAUUGGACAAUAUUUACGGUUAUCUACAAUCAAAUAAGUAGGUCAGGUUUUUAUCAUUUAGAUUUUAAGAAAUAAGGUCUAAAAUCUAUGGUAACAAGAAAUUAAAGUAAAAUGAAAUAUAAAGAAAUAAAGAUUAAAGAAAAAUAGAUAAAAAUUUUAUAAUAACACUUUCAAUGAGUCUUACCUAGAAAAAAAUUAAUGAAGUCUCACCAUAUUGAGAAAGGUAAUAAAAAUUUAAUAUUAAUAUUCAUCACUACUUAAUCCUAUUUUAUAUCAAUUAGUCUUAUUUACGGAUUAACUAAUUAAAACUCUUAGGCUUUGUGUGAGGAAGUGUUUUUUAGAAUAAUUUUUUAAAACUAUUUUCUAAUGUUUUAUAAAACAAAGGUUUAUUUGAAAACUUAAAAUACAUGCUUACGAUAUUGGUAAUUGUCUCCUAGGAAACAACAAUCAUUUUCUUGUGAUAAUAGAACUUCAAAUCACAAGAAAUGACGAAUCACUUGGUGAUUUAUAUUAUCUUAAAUACCUAAAAAACUUAGUAGAAAAAAGAAAGAUUAAACUUAAACUAAGAACUUAAAAGUUUAAGAGACUUGGAAAAGAGAAAGAACGUAGAUAAUGGAUAAAUGAAUAAGUGAAGAAAAAAAAGACGAGUAAGUUUAUUUAUAAAUUUUGUUGAUGACUAUUAGAAGAAAUAGAUCUUUAAGACACUAGACAUAUCCAUUAAAUAGUUGUGCCAUGAGACAUUGGAGUCACAUCCUUUGGAAAAGGUUAUGUCUUUAAAACACUAGACACAUCGUUUGAAACAAGUUGUAUCUAUUAAGAAACAUAUCUUCCAAAAGAAAAAAAUGUGUUCUAAUUUCCAUUCACCUAUAUAUGAAUUCCAACAGGGAUAACCUUUCUUUUGGGAACCAUUUCAAAAUUUAUAAAAUCAAUUAUGCAUUCACCCAAUGUGUAAUCUAUAGUUGAUUCAUCCUCACUAAGUUCAAUUACCAUAAAGAAUAGACAUUUCAUCUACCCUCUAAACCUCUUAACUGCCGUGGCACUCAUGUUAGUUUUCCACCGAAGAACAAUAAACUCAACAUGGAAUGUGGACCAAUUUCAAUAAUUAAUGGCUCUUAGCUCAGGCAAGAGGUAGUGGAGAAUUUGAAGAACAAAAUAUCUGAUAAGAGCAAGAGAUAAAUCCCCGUGAACACUUCCCACGUCAAACAUGUCCCUCGCGAACUUUUUGUGCUUUUUUGUCCAGCUCACCUAAUACAGAGAGUCGGAAUAAACACUUUUAUCAUGGUGGGCAAGCGAUAUCAUGUGCCAAAUACAUUAUGGGCCCUCUUAUUUGACUCAAGCUGGCUUUUCAUGAUAAGCAUUGGGGGCUGGCACGAGAAGAAAUAUCUAAUUUAAUUAUGCCAUAGACAGAAAUCAAGUCAAGAGUGACAUUGCAGAAUAUAUUUAAAUUUAACAUAGAGAAGAAAUUAUUGUUAGAUGUGUAACUUGUUUGAUUCUUUGAAUUGCUGUAGGACCAUGAUCGAAGAAGUCUGCUUCGAGGCGUACAGCUUUUGCUGCAUGUCCAAUGAAAAUGGACUACUAUUUUGUUUAACGAUCCUUUGAAAUAUGGAAAUGUGAGAAAUGUUUAUGUUUUUCCUAACCCUUAGAAAUGAGUUUUAUCUUGUAUCAUUUAUUUACAUAGAAUCUGAAAAGGUGAAUCUCAAUAAUGGACUACACCUAGAGGGAGGUGAACAGGUGUUGUAGAACAAUUUAAAAUUCUCCCAACAAAGAUUACCUAAUCUUAGACUAUCUCAAUGUCAAGAAACUUCUCUCCUAACAACUUUUCAACAAAGCAUAACAUCCACAAGCAAUAAUGUAUGCAUCAACAUUCUCCCAAUAAUUUAUAAAUGCAAAACACAUGCAAAUGCUUCAACACUCCUCAAAAAUAAAUCAAAAGAACAAUCAUUUCCUCAACUCAUAUCAAUUAACUCCAUGAUAUCAUUAAAUAAAAUGAACAUAAAAAUUAUUAAGGAUAUUUCAUGGAUCAUCACACUUAUAUCACCUCAUAUUUCUUCCAUUCAACAUGUAUGUCCAAGUAAUCAAUGAUAUCAAAAACAAAAAAUAAUUCAAAGUGUAGAGUGAGAGAAAGAGACCAUGAGCACCGGAUUUUUAACGUGGAAAACCUCCGAAGAGAUCAAAAGUCACAAGCCUAUCACCAAUUGAAAAACUCCACUAUGAAGAAUAAAAACCAAGUACAAGGUUUUACCUAAUUCAAGCCAACCAAUCCUUCCCGGAUUACUUGACUAGUACCUUCACUUUUAGCUUUUUACCUUCUUCUUCCGGAACACACUUGGAGUCUGCACCAAACUCAAUUCGCCUCUUCUUGAAUCCACACAAGAAGCAAAUUGGUUUUUUUGCACAAACCCAAAUAGAAUGAGAGAUUGAGAUAUGAAUGAAGGAAUGAAUCAACCCAUUGAUUGCUAAAGAAAAUUCAUUAAAAACUAGUUGGAAAACCUUAAGAGAAGUGGAUUUUCUUUGCAAUCAAAAACCCCAAAUUAGGAAAACAAAAUGAGAAAAUGAAGAACACAUGGAGUGGCUGCUCUCUCCACGUUUUCUACAGUCACUCUGCAGAAAAAUGAAAGAAGAUUGUUUUUUAAAGUGUAAAAAGAAGCCCUCAAUCUAAUGGUUGAGAUUUGACAAAAAAAAAAAAAAAAAAUUAGUUGGAUCAAUCCAAAAUCUGGGAAAUAUAAGUCUUGCACAAAAAAUCAUUUCUCCCAACUUUCUAACACAUUUAAAGAUUAAAAAUUGGGUUGAUUCACAUUCAAUCAUCACACACUCGGCUACAUACCUUGGCCUCUUAGCAAAAUCUUAUUCUUCAGAAUUAAAUAGUCUGAAGAGGAAUUGGGAAGCCGAGUUAGGGGACACUUAUUUGUCCAGAAUUAUCAACCUAGCUAAACACUCACAGAAUCAUUGAAAUGUGUGUGUGUGUGUGUGUGUGUGUGUGAGAGAGAGAGAGAGAGAGAGAGAGAUUUUAAGCUAAGUACAAAAAACAAGAUUCAGCCCGGCCUUUAGAAGCUAAGGAAAACAUAAAGUGUAUAUAUAGUUUGUGUCAAAAACAUGAGAGAGAGAGAGAGAGAGAGAGAGAGAGAGAGAGAGAGAGAGAUUUUAAGCUAAGUACAAAAAACAAGAUUCAGCCCGGCCUUUAGAAGCUAAGGAAAACAUAAAGUGUAUAUAUAGUUUGUGUCAAAAACAUGUCCGCAAUCCAAAUUAAUUGACUUCAAAAUUUUCUUUUGCUUGAAAUAACAUAUGGGGCCUUAAUUUGGGAUCAGUACUGCAAUGAAUUUGUUGUUUGCACCGGAAAUAAGGGAGCAUAUACAUGUAUUGUAUAGGAUUUUGUUUGGUGGGAGACUAAAAGUGAAAGUUCUCUCAAACCCUAGUAAAUAUUGGCCUCCUUAGAGGUUCAACAUUUAGCUGGAUCAGGAAGGACCAGACUGACUAAUAUCAAUGCCAUCUACUCUUCCACAAAAAGUAAACUAGUCCAUACUGCACUUACAAAUAAGGUAAUGCAGCAUAACUAGUUUAACACACUAGCUAAUUAGUUCAUUUCACUCAAUAAUUAUGCAAAUUUAGAAGAUUGGGGGAGAUCAUAGAAGCAUCUAGAGGUGAGCACAUUGACCUUGUAGAGGAAUCUAGAGCAUAUCAAUCUCUGCAGGUGUCUAGAGGUUGCUUCUGAAUUGGGGCCUCACCCACCAGACAAGGAAUUGUAUUUUCAAUUGGGGUAUGCCCCAUCUGCCUGAAUCAUAUUUUGCCAUAUUCAUACAUGUACUUAUUUAUGUGGACCAUGUGAUCUAUGUUGGAGUAAUGCACAUCAGUGUCUCUAUUGAAUGUUCUAAACCUCAUGAGCCACUGAAAAUAUAUAUAUAUAGAAUAUAAAUAUCGAUAAAAAUAAAAACCAGAAAUAUAACACAAUCAUUCUGCGCAUGAAAAAUUGAAAUGAUAUAUCAUAUAUCCGUCUCAUAAGAUGUAGAAUCACAUCCGCCUAAAGCAACUGAAAACGCUCCAUGUUAUAAAAGGGACAGAAAGAUCCUCUUAUGGAUGAAUAUGCUAAUCGAGUUCUAUUUCCCAAUGUUCAGCCACAGCCAGUAACACUGAGGAGGAGUACAAUUAAGUAGCAAAAGUGGUAAAAAUGAAAUAUUUAUGAUUUGGAAAAAAGGGUUGAACGAGAAGCUACCAACUGAAUCGUGUUAAUAAUUUGCAGACAGAGAUGACUAGCUAACAGGGACCUUUCAUAUGGGAGGUGAAAUCUAAAAGCCUCAAUCACAUGCAGUGGUCUCCCAUAUUUACACUAUCCACGCCGUUUCAGCUCUUUAAUUUUCUCUCUCACUUUGUCCUUAGAACAACAGUCUACCUUAUCUCUAACCUCCUCAAAACCCUAUAUAAAUCAAGCAGAAGUACCAAGGAAAAGCACCAUGAAUUCAUCAAAAAAAGCAAGUCAUGGCUAAGUUUAGAAGUAACAGUGCUAAGAAAAAGAACGGCAUUGUAAGGCUUAAGAUUGUUGUAGAGAAGCUGCAAAAGAGCCUUUCAUUGGGGAAGAAAUCAGCUUCUGACUAUGACGAUCUUGAAGAGGUUAUUGACUCAGCAUAUGUGCCACCUGAUGUCAAGGAAGGACACUUUGCAGUGAUUGCAGUGGAUGGCCAGGAACCUAAGAGAUUUGUGGUUCCACUCAAUUUUCUUACUCACCCACCAUUCUUGAGGCUUUUGGAGCAAGCAGCUGAGGAAUAUGGUUUUGACCAUGAGGGUGCAUUAACAAUCCCUUGUCGGCCCAGCGAGCUUGAGAGGUUACUGGCUGAGCAAUGGAAGCCGGAGAGAGAUCAUAGCGUUGGUGUCAACUGGGAUUCCUGUAAAACCUUGGUUAAGAGCUGUUAGGUCUGGAGGAGCAUGCAUGCUGCUUUGAUUCCAUUCAUUGAUGGGAAUCUUUUUCCAUGUUCCUGUAUUCAGCCCUCUCCCUUGUUUCAUCUAUUAGAAACUUGUUAUCCUUCUGCAACGUACUUGUUUAUUUUUGGGUCGUUAUUAUAGCUUAUUCCUGAUCUGGAAAUAAACAACUUUUCUCUUACAGACUCUGAAAUGCAUCAUUUUCCUUUAUGAAGAAUACCCAGUUGAAAUGUACCCUAGUUUUCUGUCUUGAUUGUCAACUAUUGAAACAAGCUGAGGAUUAAUGCUAGAUUUUCUGACCAAAAUAAUACUGAAUUUUCCCAUAAAACAUAAUGCUUAAAUAUCUUUAAUUUUUUCAAAGAAUUAAUUCAUAAAAUAUUGGACCCUACCUUGAAAUAUUAAAGGUUUGAUAAGCCUGUCAUACAACAUAAAUUGGCAAACAUGUGCAUGCAAGAAUUAACAAUCGCAUAACCCUAGAUUGGAGCUCCAAGCUCAAAUGAUAAAUGAAAUUUCAGGUUUGAACGCCAUCAAUCUCACAAAGUAACAAGUUUGAUUACAACAAAAUGAUAUGAAACCAUUUUUGGUUGUUUCCAGAAACAUAUCUCAGAACUAUUCAUUAGUGGGAUCCACAGUGCCUGCCUGCCAAAUUAUUUGUUAUAUGAUUGCUAUAGUUCAAGAAUCGGUACAUGGGAUCCACAAUGUUGUACCUCCCACGCAUCAGCGCGCAAGUUGAGACACUGCAUCACUGAAUUUCGAAAGAGAGAGCACUGGAGAGUGGAAACAAAGGGAUAAUAUAUACUCAUGCAAGGAGAAAAAUGAAGCAAUACAGAAUUUUAUUUUAUUUUUUUAUUCUUUUUCUUUUUAACGUGAAGAAUACUCUUCCCAAAUUGGUCCUGGAGAAAGUAUCUAGUCUGAGUUUAUAAGACAUAUCAUUAUAUUGCGACAGGAUUAAUGCAUAUGUAUCAAAUAUUCAAUGACAUAUUGUAGUUAUUCUCUACUAGCUAACAACGGUAUGAAUGCAUACCAAAACUACUACCAAUGUGUUUUCUCAUGGGGCACAUGCUCCUCCUUGUUGGGCAUGUGCCUUGUUUGUCUAGGCAUUUCACGCACUACAUGACUUUCUUAGCUAGCUGUGAGAGAUGAUGCUCUGAAUUGUUUACCGACCCAUCAUUUUUAUCCCCUUCCUUUUCAUUUGUGAUACUACAAGUUUUUAGAGGGAAAAAACAAACUGUGCUGAUCAAUGAUAACUCUUUAUAUAAUUUCCAAAACUUUUAACAAAAAGAAGAGCACCCCCAGAAGAAAAAAAAAAUAAGAGAAGGAUACUGAAAACGAGAGCAUUUAGACUGAAAAGUUAGGCACUCAAAAGCUUUAAUUACUACUGAAUCUAGGGCAUUGAAAACUUGACUUCUAUGCGGUAAGCAGCAUAUUCAAUUUUCAAUAGCAGUCUUAACAUUCUAUCUAUCUAUCAACUUUUAUGCCCAAAAAAUUCCGGUAUUCAGUACAUACCUCCCUCAUACUUCUUAGAAAAUCAAGCAAAACCUUGAGUACCAUGGAGAAUUCUUCUUGACCAAACAAUCUCACUUCUUACAUAAGUCUCCUUUGGUCAUCCAUUUGCCGAGUACAAUUAUAUUGUUGAGCUGAGAAAGGGAGGUUCUUCCUUCAGUUCAACAGUAAAGUGUAAAUUAAUGAAAGCCCAUUUAACUCAAGUUGCCCUAGCUUUUUUCAAAGAACACCCUCUAUAAUGCGGCAAUGAGUGUGUUGCACUAUGACAACCCUCGCUCUUGUGGGGAGCCACCUCUUAUAAAACAUGGAAUUAUGAGUUCCACAAAGUCACAAACACUAGGGGUUUUUUUAUUAAUUAUUGCACUUUUGAAACCAUCUCUUUUACAUCUAACAGUUUUCCCACCAUUAAAAAUGAUGCCCAUGUCCUAAACUACAGUGGCAUUCAGCAAUAAUGACUUCACCUGUUGGGCUAUACAAUAGUUGGAAGCAUAUUUUAAGUCAUAUAUUCGUGGCAGUUGGUACCAGCUGGUUAAUUGAAUCAGUACUGAUCCUUUAAUGUGAAGCUGGAUUGUGAUAGUUUGCUGCUCUGAUUAUAUCCUUUUCCUGCUGCUGGGCAUUGAGAUCAGUUGCUUAUGAAAGCCAAAGUUCUGGUUAAGUGAUGUGAUUAAGUACUCUUGAGAUGAACUUAUGCUUCAGAAUCGUCCUUGUAGUUUUAGGGAAGAGUGACUUGUAACGGAAUUAAUGGCGCCAUCAACUUAUAAUUUGUCUAGAGAAAUUAUGGAAUGGUUCCACAGAAGCCUGAAGUGGACAAACAACCCUUGGAAUCAGCGGAAGUCACGGUCUCUAAUGCCUGAAUGGUCUUUUCUGGGCUGGUAGAGCUGCUUGACAUAUCAAGCACGUGUAUGGUCAAGUGGGUUUGGCUUCUUGUGAACUUUUCAGACGUGUUCUCUUGCGUUGUCAAUGAUUGGCCCUUUUCUUCAGUUUCAGUUGCUCUAGAUUCAAUCUUCUCCAAGUUAGUGAUUUCUAGUAUUAAACUAAUAGAGCUGCAACAAAUACACAAACAAACAAUUAAAUAAUCUUUAAAAAAAAAAUUAGAAAGAAAUUAUUGUCUUCCAUGAAUAUUUUUGUUCAAAUAUCAUAUAAUUUAUUUAUAAAUAUUCACACUUCGAAUAAGAACUCCCGAUAACAAAAUUAUAAAAGCCUUUAGAGCGUGUUUGGUACACGGGAAUAGGGAGUGAGAAUAGACAUCUCAUUCCUUUUCUCCCUUAUUCCUAUGUUUGGAUAAAUGUUAAGAAGGUGGAAAUGAAAUAAAAAAUUAUUCCGGCAGAAACCAAAUCCAACUUAUGAGUCGGAUUUGCAUUCAUUAAAAAUAGGUGGUAUUCUGAUUCAUUAAACCUAUUUGAUAAUAUAAAAUAAUCUAAAUUACUAUUUUACCCUCUUAUCUUGUUCUUCAAACCCGAUGUUUAUCUUCUUUGUAAAGGUAUAGAUCCAUUCAUCAUCCACUUCUUAUCUUCUUUGCAAAGCUAGAGACCCACUCAUCAUCCAAUUCUCUGCAACAAGUGAUUCUUCCAAAUUGAAUCAAUUAAACCUUCCACGAUAUUUAAAAAAAAAAAAUCAAUUUCUAAUUUAUUGGGUUUUGGAUGUUCAUUUUGAUUGUUGGAUCUAGGAUUUGUCAUUGUUUGCUGCAACUAGGUUCUGAAAACUCCCUUCUACAUCUUCGAUCAGGUUUACCUUAUUUUCUCUUUCUUCUUCUACUUCUUUAUAUGUGUUUCUUCUUCUCUAUAAAUUGAUUAAUUUUUUUUUUAUUAAUUUAUAUUUGGAAUCUUUGAUGUUUCUUUAUCUUGUAUUAAUGGAAACUGGAGAGAAAAAUUGAAAUGGUUGGAAAAAGAUUUUUUGAUUUCACGUGUUUACAAUAUUGAAAAUUUUUAAUGGUUAGGAAAAAAAUAAAAAGAAAAAAACAAACAAAAACAAAACUUUUGGUUUUUUUUCCCCUUUGUUUAUUAUUAUCGGUGUCUUCCUUUCCUAGUUAAAGCUAUGGAUUCUGCCGUCUCGUAGAAAAUCUGCUGCGUUUCCGGCUCAUUUUGGAACUUUAGCAUAGGCCACAAUGAAGAUCUCUUCAUAUCAUUGUUAUUUAACAGUAAACAAACCAUUAAGCACCAAGAAACCAACAUUGAUUAAUUUUUUUAUUCCAACUGCUAUUGAUCUAUAUCGGCCCAACUUUAAGUUUGAUGUAGACAGCCCAAGGAGAUUUGCAUGAUGCAAAUCUCCCGACCUAAGCCACAUCACAUCACAACACCAAUGCCAAUAAAACAUGAUUUUCAUACCUUUCCAAAUCCAAUAAAUUAGAUUACCAGAAUGACCGACCGAUGGCACAUAGAAAGAUUCAAGCAACAGUAUAAUAAAAUAUUUAGGUGGGGUUAAAUUAAAAUCUGCAACUUCAAGAAAAAGUCAAGAUGAGCUCUGUACCAUUGUCACUACUGAUCUUCCCAGGCAUUCUGUUGUGGGCAUCUUAUUAAGGCAAAUUAUGGACAUUAUUUAAACAACCAAUAAAUUUAAUGAUUAAAAAACCCAUGAUUGUGAGGUCAAACAUAGAAUAUUUAAUCUUUUUAAUAUUUAUUAGUUGUUUAAGGCAUAUUUGCCUACAUUGAAACAGUAGCCAGAAUAAACGGACCAAAAUUUGGAAUUAAUGAUUCAAGUAACAAUAAAUUUAGAAGUAAUGCCUACCAUGAUUGUGAGGACUACCAUGAUUCUGACCAUAUACAAAAAUGUCAACAGAACAUAUGGUUAUGUUAAAUAGAUUAAUUUAAUUUUUGCUAGAUUUCCCAAGCAAGAGUAUUGUAAUGAUAAAUUUUGCCUAUUUGUAUUUAAUUAUUUAUUUAAAUUUUGCCUAUAAUAAAUAAUUUUUUUUUUGAAAAAUAUAAUUUUAUAACUACUUAAGCAUGACAAAUUAUUCAAAUUUUUAAUAAAAAUAAUAAUUGAAUAUUUGUGCAUUAGGGUUAUACGAUUUUUUAUGGUUAAUUUUUUAUUUAUUGAGUGUAUAUAUAUUUUUUAGUCUUAUUAUUUAAUAACAAAAAACCUCUCAAAUUUUAUUUUUUUAAAAUAAAAGUAAAAAUUAAAAAAAAAAUAUUUUAAAUUAUAUGUAAGGAUAUUAUUGUAAAUUUAUUUAUUUUUCAUUUCCAUUCCUAUUAUUAUCAAACAUUGGAAUGGAAACAAAUAAUCAUUCCAAUCUUGCAUUCCUAAGUUCAUCCAAAUGCUAGAAAUGGAAUUAUUAAAUUCAUUUCAUUCCACUAAAAAAUAGGAAAGGAAACAAAAUAUUAUUUCCAUUCCCUAUUCCGACGUACCAAACACCCCCUUAAAGUAAGGCUGUAAUUUGGGCUGAUUGGUGAGUUAGAAGGCUAACCCGUACCAAACCCACCAUCAAUAUAUCCCAUCCAUAUCAAAUCUAAUCUAAGUUGGGUUGAGAAUUACCAACUCAUGUCAAUGUACAAUUCGGGUUCCCACGGUUCUUGUGAGUUUAAGUAAAAUAACUAUUUUGAAGUCUAUAUCAAAUAAACCAUAUUAUAAAAUGAAAGAUUAAAAGUUAAAUGUCUCCUGGAAUAUUUACUAGUUAUAAAUAUGAUAUAAAUAACAAUCCAAAAACUUGAAUUUCAAUUAUAAAAUAAUAAAAAAUGAUGAAUCUAUUAGUUUAAGAUAAUUAAAAAGUGAUAAAUCAUAACCCAAGAUAAUUUUAAAGUAAGAAAUCUUAGAGUUUAUUUUUUUCCGUUUUUAUUUUUUAUAUUAUAAAUAAAAUAAUAGAUUAUAUAAUUUAAAGAUAAUGAAUAAAUAAUCAUAUGUGAACUCAGGUGUAAAGACCCGCACCCAACCAUGUAGAUAUUAUCCGCUUUGGGCCCAAGAGGGCCCUCACGGCUUUAAAACGCGUCUACUUGGUUAAGAGGAGUCUCUACAUAUAUAGUGUCAGGAACAGUCUCCCGUAUCUGAUGUGGGACAUCACAAACACCCCCCCCCCAUGCAGACACAACGUCCUCGUUGUGUCCCAUGGGAUUGUGGGGCCAAACAAACCCCCACACCGGGGUCGGGGAUCAACUAUGAUACCAUUUGUAAUGGUCCACUCCCAACCGUGUAGAUAUUGUUCGUUUUAGACCCAAAUGGGUCAUCGCGACUUUAAAACACGUCUACUUGGUUAAGAGGAGUUUCUACAUAUAUAGAGUCAUAAACUUUCUCUCCUAUCUGAUGUGGGACAUCACAAAAAGACCCCCCCCCCCCAUGCAGACAUAACGUCCUUGUUGAGUCACAUGGGAUUGCGGGGUCAAACAAACAAAUACCCAUUACAAGGCCAAACAAACCCCCACAUCGAGGUCGAGGAUCGGCUUUAAUACCAUUUGUAAUGACCCGCUCCCAACCAUGUAGAUAUUGUCCGCUUUGAAUCCAAAUGGGCCCUCACGGCUUUAAAACGCGUUUUAAAGUCGUGAGGGCCCCUUUAGGUCUAAAGUGGACAAUAUCUACAAGGUUGGAAGUGGACCAUUACAAAUGGUAUCAGAGCCGAUCCCCGACCCCGGUGUGGGGGUUUGUUUGGCCCCUUAAAGGGUGUUUGUUUGUUUGGCCCCACAAUCCCAUGAGACACAAUGAAAACAUUGUGUCUGCAUGGGGGAGUGUUUGUUAUGUCUCACAUCGAAUAGGGGAGAAUGUUUCUAGCGCUAUAUAUGUAGAGGUUUCUCUUAACCAAGUAAACGCGUUUUAAAGCCAUGAGGGCCCCCUUGGGUCCGAAGCGGACAAUAUCUACAUGAUUGGGUUCGAGUCGUUACAAAUGGUAUCAGAGUUGAUCUCCAACCUUGAUGUGGAGGUUUGUUUGGCCCUGUAAUGGGUAUUUGUCUGUUUGACCCCGCAAUCCCAUGGGACACAACGAGGACGUUAUGUCUGCAUGGGGAGGUGUUUGUGAUGUCCCACAUUAGAUAUAGGAGAAAGUUUUUUACUUUAUAUAUGUAGAGACUCCUCUUAACCAAGUAGACGCGUUUUAAAGUCGUGAUGACCCUUUUGGGUCUAAAGCGGACAAUAUCUACACGGUUGGGAGUGGACCAUUACAAAUGGUAUCAAAGUCGAUCCCCGACCCCGGUGUGGGGGUUUGUUUAGCCCCAUAAGGGGUGUUUGUUUGUUUGGCCCCACAAUCCCAUGGGGGUGUUUGUGAUGUCCCACAUCGGAUAGGGGAGAAUGUUCCUGACGCUAUAUAUGUAGAGGCUUCUUUUAACCAAGUAGACACAUUUUAAAGUCGUGAAGGCCCCCUUGGGCCCAAAGCGAAUAAUAUUUACAUGGUUGGGUGUGAGUCGUUACAAAUGGUAUCAAAGCCGAUCCCCGACCUCGAUGUGGAGGUUUGUUUGGCCCUAUAAUGGGUAUUUGUCUGUUUAACCCCGCAAUCCUAUGGGACACAACGAGGACGUUAUGUCUGCAUAGGGGGGUGUUUGUGAUGUCCCACAUCGGAUAGGGGAAAAAGUUUCUGACUCUAUAUAUAUAUAGAGACUCCUCUUAACCAAGUAGACGCGUUUUAAAGUCGUGAGGGCCCUUUUGGGUCUAAAGCGGACAAUAUCUACACAGUUAGGAAUGGACCAUUAUAAAUGGUAUUAGAGUUGAUCCCCAACCCCGGUGUGGGAGUUUGUUUGGCCCUGUAAGGGGUGUUUGUUUGUUUGGCCCCACAAUCCCAUGGGACACAACGAGGAUGUUGUGUCUGCAUGGGGAAGGUGUUUGUGAUGUCCCACAUCAGAUAGGGGAGAAUGUUCCUAGCGCUAUAUAUGUAAAGGCUCCUCUUAACCAAGUAAACGCGUUUUAAAGCCGUGAGGGCCCUCUUAGGCCCAAAGCGGAUAAUAUUUACAUGGUUGGGUGCGGGUCGUUACAUUAGGUCUCAACAAGUUGCUCAAACACUCAAUUUUUCUAAUUGAAGCCUAAUCCUAACCCAUGCAAAACCCAAGCCUAAUCCUAACCCAUUCAAACCUUGUCUAUGUCAACGUACCCAAACUCAAAUCAAGCAUGGGACAAGUUAAAGCUCCCAAACUACAUCCAUAUCCAGAAAAUUCAAUUACUUAAAUAUAAAAACUAAUAAACCACUCAAAUUAGAAAUAUUCUAAUUGACUUUUCAAACCUAAAUCAAAUUUAAAAAGUUUUUAGAAAUUUCCUCAUUUCAAGUGCAUUUUUAGACUUGACCCCUUAAACUUGAUUUGUAACUCUAGGAAUCAUACGGGUCUUUUAAAAUUUUGAUUUGUACGUCUCUAUUUUUCCUUUUGCAUGCAUUCUUCUUAAUUUGUAUUUUAACACUCACCUUACUCUAAUUAUCUUUAUCUCUUUUGAAGGAGAUUUUAAUUCUCAUAUAUCAUUGUUCUUUAAUUGCUUUUAUUUUUUCGUCCAUAACAUACCAAAACAAAAACAAAAAGUUAUAUCAUUUUUAUUUUUGUUCAUUCAUAACUAAAGUUUUGCUAAAACUUCUAAAAUACAAUGUCAUUUCACUUGAAUCUUUCAAAGAAAAAGAUAGAAUAUUACGGGGUGGAUAAAAAGAAGAAUGCAAAACCCAUAAUUUAGAAACAGAUCUAUCAAUAGCUAUUUGACCAACAAAAUUAAGGUUAAGAGAAUUCUACGAUAAGACUUAGUAAGAAUUGAAACAACUAAUGGCAUUUUCGAAGCCCUAUAAAGUGAGCUAGAUGAGACUAAUAAUAAUAAUAACAGAAAGUAGUUUCAUUUAAAGUGAGCUAGAUGAGACUAAUAAUAAUAAUAACAGAAAGUAGUUUCAUUUAUCUCUCGGUGUGUUGUUCUUCACAGCUUGGAAUAGUACAAUGAAGAGUGUUGGGGCUAAAGAUAAUUUUGUUAGAACUUUAUGAGUUGAUGGAAGUAGGAAUGAAGGUGGAGUAGUGAUUUUUUAAUACAAGCCUUCUCUUAUAUGUUCUCCUUUGUAGAAGGAAAGAAUAUCAUAGACACCUUCUUGAGCACCCCAAUCCUAUAUAAAUUCCUCUUCAUUAAAGUUGUUUCUUUCCAUUAAUUAGAUUAUACAGUUUGUAGCUUUGGAGUUUAGUCAUAACCUAUGAAAAAUUAUUUUCAACUUUGACCCUUUUGAUUUGACACAUAAGCAUAUACGAUACUUCCGAAUGUGAAUAUCUUGUUUCUCUUCUAUUCCAAGCUCAUUGGUGUUUUAUUCAAUACACUUUUAAUUAGGUGAAUGAUUUGACAAAUAAAUCGCACAACCAACCAUUAAAACCUAAAAUUUUUUAAACAUUCUUUUUUUUUUUCUAGCAUAAUUCAGACUAUGCAAAAAAAAAAAAAAAUCUAUUUUCCCUUUUAACGAUCUCAUUUUGAUAUAUUGUAUUUACUUAUUUUUUUGAAUAGGUGUUUUAAAUUUCUUAAAAAUACUAAAUACUUGAUAUUUUUCUUUCAAAAAAUAUAUUAAAAAUUUUCAACUAAAAUAAUCAAUAAAGAGAAAAAAAAUAUUCAUUCUUACCAAAAAGUUGCAUUCAUCAGUCACAUAAUUAAUUCGAGUGAUUUACAAAGGUCAAUCCUUAAUUUCAUCAUUUUCUUUUUCUUGUUUCAUAAUUUUAAUCCUCAAAAAUUAAAAUAUUCAAAUCUUAAGUGUAAGAUCCAAAAGGAAUUAUAAUAUCAUUUUAAAUGUUUGACAAGAAUGUUAUAUUUCUUGUCAUGGGCACAAUGACAAUCAAGUCAAAUUCACAUAUUGAUUUCCUAUUUGGAGAUAUUUUAAUUUUUCAUAUCAAUAUCAUAGUCUUUUCUAAAGGAUGGCAAUCAAAUUGUAAAUUCACAAAUUGAUUUCCAAUUUGGAGAUAUUUUAAUUUUUCAUAUAAAUAUCAUAGUCUUUUCUAAAAGAUCAAUCAAAUUGCAAAUUCACAUAUUGAUUUCCUAUUUGAAGAUAUUUUAAUUUUUCAUAUAAAUAUCAGUCUUUUCUAAAAAUUGACUCAAACUUGACCCAAUCUUAAAUGUUAUAUUGAUUUUUUCCAUUUUGCAAGCAAAUCAAGAAUGUACAUUUUUGUCUUAUAGUGAAAUUUUGGAUACAUCUCAAAAAUUAAUUAGCAUUCUUCAUUCAUUAAGCUCCACAAACAUAUUUUUUAAUCCACGCACAUGGUUGCAAGUUCCAUUGCCAAUAUACCACACAUUUUUCUCCUCAAUUUCUUCUUGUUUGCCAUACAUAAAUUAAUUCUUCUUUAUCUUUUUUUUUUACAUAGUUAGCUUUUCUUUCAAUAUUGCCAAUAGCACUUCUACAUGGAUCAGUAUAAUGACUAUAUUUUUUACAAUUAUAACAUUGAAUAUAAUAUUUAUCAUACCUUCCCUUUUUGUUUUACCUUGAGUUUCACCAUCUUUCACAUCUUCACGAGGAAUAUAAAUCUUGACUUAUUCUCUUACUUUUUGAUGUGAAACUGCCUCUUUGGCUAGAACCAUGUCUAUAAUCAUUUUGAAUUCUUUCAUUACCAUGAUUUUCUUCAUUCUAUUUUAUAGUAAAUUUUGUUUCAAGAACUUAGUCUAGUUUUUUUUUUUUUUUUUUGUUCUUCCUUAUUAAUAGUCUCUUCAUGAGCUUACAAUGAUUCAAGAAGUUGAGCAAUGAUAAUAGAAUCUAAAUCUUUAAACUCUUCAAUUGACACAAGAAUACAAUCAAACUCUAAAUAUAAAGAUCAAAAUAUUUUUUCAUCACCCGAGCCUCAUUCAAACUUCCACCAUUUUUUUUAAUACAUUCGCAAUGACCAAUACAUUUGAAAAAUAAUUAAAAUUUGAUUUAUAAUUCUCUCAUAUUCAAACUUUCAAACUCACCUCUAAAAUGUUUAAAGCUGAAUUUUUUUUUUACCUUAUCGACUUCUUUACUUGUCUUUUAUAAUAUCUUCCAUACAUUGGUGGUGGUAGGUGUAUUUGAAAUAUUCUUAAAAAUAAUUUCAUUCAUUAUUUUUAAUAGAUGAGAGUUCUUAUCUUUCUCCAUUAUAUCUUUCAAAAAAUCCAUUUAAUUUUGGGAUGGGUUGUUUCAUCUUAUUGCUCCUUGUAGUCUUUCUCAAAAACCUUUCAUGCAUCUUGUAAAUCGAAAAAGUUUUUAGCUUGAUGGUCCAAUUGUCAUUAUUGUUUUUACUAAGUUGGGUAUUUAAAACAGAUAUAUCCCACUUUUCCAUUCCUUGUGAUUCUAAUAUUAAUUUGUUGAAGUAAUAAGGUUGAAACACAAAACAAUCACAUUAGUAGAGAUAAAUAAUUGAGAAAAAAUUAAGAAAAUUUAAUUUAUUAUCUUCUAACACUAAACAAAAUUCCUAAUACCAAAAAUACAGCAACUUUAUAAAAUUCAAUUAUUUGAAUAUAGAAACUAAAUCAAUCACUCAAGAAAUAUUUUAAUUGAUUUAUAGAAAUCAAAUCAAAUUUUAAUUUUUUAAAAGCUUCCCAAAUUUAAAUUCACUUUCCUAUCAUUAGCCACAUGGAAUGAAUUAAUUAAUCUGCAUGCAUGCCGUCGUUGAUGUGAAGCCGCACAGCGAUUGUUUGCCUCUAAUUAAAUUCCUUUCCAGCUCACCCUUGAUAACACUGGCCAAGUAGUGCUAAAGCUAUUUUCUCUUAAAGUGAUAGGAUAAAGCACAGAGAUGAGCUCAUUCUCCACAUCGUCUGAUGCCCAAUGGACCCUUCAACUUUUCUGUGGAGAAUGAUUAAUAACGCAUUUUGAGAUCACCUACUGAUGAUGUAACUUUGUGCAAUCGUAUACUGCAUAAUAUUGGCAAUGGCAGCCAAUUCAUGGCAGAUUCUUUUACCAAAUGUAGGUAUUCAUUAUGAAUGUCAUGUCGUGCCUUUGCAGUGUCUGUUAGUGGAGAUAAAAGUACUAGGUACUCCCUCUCUUUGGAUUCCCUGACAAGGGGUCUAUAAGGGCAUGACGACACAAGUAUAACUCUAGAAAAUAUGGGUGUAUAUGAUAUGCCCGACAUAUUUUCCUCGGACUUUUUUCAAUAGUACGAUAAUUUAAAAAAAAUAUUCUUAAAUUAUUAUAGUAAAAAAAGUUAUUUUAAAUAUAUGAUAGUUUUUGUCACCUAAGAGAGAGGGUGAAUGAAUAAAUUUUUUUUUUUAACCAAAAUCGUCUUUUCAAAAAACGAUUUUAUUUCCAUUUAAAAAAUAAAUAAAAAUUCAAAAGGGGAAGAGACGAUUUCCCAUUAAAAAAAAUUAAUAUUUUUUUUAAUAUUGAUUACAAAUUAUAAAAAAAAAAUAUUCCCAAAGAAACUCAUCUCUUGAAGAGACGAGUUCCCAUGGAAAAAAAUAAUAUUUUUUUUUUAAAAUCCCAAAUUUAAAAAAAAAAAAAAAAACCACAAGGAACUCGUCUUUUGAAAAGACGAGUUCCCAUGAAAAAAAAAUCUCAAAUUAAAUAAAAAAAAUAAAAAAUCCUCAAGGGAACUCGUCUCUUGAAGAGACGAGUUCCCAUGAAAAAAAAUUAAUAUUUUUCUAAAAAAAAAUCCCAAAUUAUAAAUAUAAAAAAAAAAAAAUCCUCAAGAAGAGACGAUUUCCCAAAUUUUUUUUUUUAUAAUUUGGGAUUUUUAAAAAAAUAUAUAUAUUAAAUUUUUUUCAUGGAAACUCGUCUCUUGAAGAGACGAGUUCCCUUAAGGAUUUUUUUUUUUUUAAUUUGAGAUUUUUUUAAAAAAAAUAUAUAUUAUUUUUUAAAUAUAUAUAUAUAUUAUUAUUUUUCAUGGGAACUCGUCUUUUCAAGAGAAGAGUUUCCUUGAGGAUUUUUUUAUUUUUUUUUUAAUUUGGGAUUUUUAAAAGAAAAAAAUAAAAAUCAUGGAACUCGUCUCUUGAAGAGACGAGUUCCUUUGAGGUUUAAAAAAAACAAUAAAUAAAGGCCCGUGAAAUUGGGCCGAAUUGUGGCCCAAAAUAUGGCUUGGCGGGGGUGCCAUGUGGAGCACCCUCAAAAUUCAAACCAAAAAAACAAAAGAAAAGAAAAAGGGUGGGGGGGGGGGGGUCUGGCCACGCCUGAGCGCGCCAGGUGGCAGAUGGGUGCUCAGGUGUGGCUGCUGCCCCUUCCCUUUUGCCCAGGAGGGCUGCCGCCCGUCCGUUCUUUCCACGGCGAUUCCGGCUAUCUCGGGCGACAUCGGCAGCCAAGAGGGGUCUCUUCAAGAGACGAGUUCUCUUGAGGAAAAAAAAUUAAUAUUUUUUUAUAUAUAAUUUAGGAUUUUUUUUUUAAAAAAAAUAUUAAUUUUUUUUCAAGGGAACUCGUCUCUUAAGUCUCUUGAAGAGACGAGUUCCUUUGAGAAUUUUUAUUUAUUUAUAAUUUGAGAUUUUUUUUCAUGGGAACUCGUCUCUUGAAGAGACGAGUUCCCUUGAGGAUUUUAUUUUUAUUUUUUUAUUUGGGAUUUUUUUAUGGAAACUCGUCUCUUCAAGAGACUAUUUCCCUUGGGUUUUUAUUUUUUUUAUUUUUUAUAAUUUAUAAUAAAUGUUAAAAAAAAUAUUAAUUUUUUUUAAUGGAAAAGAGACGAUUUCCCUUUUGAAUUAUUUUUUUCUUUUAAAUGAAAAUAAAAUCAUCUUUUGAAAAGAUGAUUUUGGUUUUAAAAAAAAAAAUUAUCCGUUCACCCUCUCUCUUAGGUGGCAAAAACUACCAUAUAUUUAUAAUAAUUUUUUUUACUACAAUAAUUUAAGAAUAAUUUUUUUAAAUUACCGUAAUAUUGAGAAAAGUCCUAUUUUCCUCAGGAAAGCAUAGGUAGCAUUACCUUAUUUUCUUUUUGUUAAUCCCAAUAAUACAAAAAGUUCGACCUCAUCCUAAUCCCAUCUCACUGUUGCACUGGCUGGGUGCCACCAAAUACCCACUCGUCACCAAUAACACCUGUGAAAGUAUCACUGAUCUUGACCUCUUCAAAAUAAAAAACUUUCGAACCUACCCAUAUCUUUAUAGUUCAGCAGGUCUUUAUCAUUUGACAAGAGCAGUCCAUUAGAAAAUUUAAAAAUUCGUACAAGCAGACAAGCUUGUCAAGAAACUUUUUUUUUUUUUUGUCUCUGAAGUAAUAAAAAGAAUUCUAUAAAUAACAGUACAGAAAGAAGGAAAAAAAUCUAUAGAAAUGGUAUAUAAAAUGUAUAAAAAUAAAAAAAAACAUAGGUUACACAGCAUAUGAAACUACACAAAGCUCUUGAAAAUUUGCAGUUGCACGUGAGCUCAUAUCUCUUAAUUUUAUUACGUGUAUGUUCAGCAUCUUCUUUAUGCAUAGUCUUCUUGAUAUUGGAGAAUUUUGAUGGGCUUUUGGUACUUUUUCCUAAACCUCAAGAAAAUAUCUAGCUAUGCAAACUGAUUAAAACAUUCUACCAGAGAUGUUGGGUUUCUCAUAGACAGAUUGAUUUCUAUAAUUUCUAAUUAUUAAUUGGCUUUUGGGUGUAGAAUUAUUGUGGGUAUGUAUACAUUCCAAUAUUGCAAGAGUCUAUAUCCCAUUUCCUUGAAUGUACCGCCUUUAGACAUUUGUCUUUGCGAUAUUUUAGAGGUGCAUGUGACCUGUAAACAUUAAUCAAUGACAGGUACAUAGAUAUUUUUUUUCUUCGUACGCAAGGGCGUAAGACCAUAAGAGCGUGUGUGCAGCGUGUUCUCUACAGAACCACGCGUAGCGUACCUUGUACCGUGCCGUGCUGUUCAUUUUUUGUGGAAGUUUGAAGUUUUGGGAGGUGGCAUAAUGAGCGUGACAUAUUGAGUUUGACCCCAUGCAAAAUGCAGAGAUAAAUCUCGAUCUACUGAUCUAGAUAAGGUUACAUGUGUUGUAUCAAACGUGGUGCAGACCUGUUCUCUAAAUGAAAGACCAAUGGAGAGAGUGAAGUCAUACCUAACAAGCCUGCAACACUGAUCAAAAUGAUGGGGUACAUGCAUGAAGACUGAAAUCCAAUCCCGAUUGACUUGCAGAUCCAGCUAGCUACAUUCCAAGAAGAAGCAGGGUGUUUUUUAAAUAUAUAUAUAUAUACACAUAUAUUUUUGUAUCUUUUACAUGAGUAAGAACUUCACCAGAGAACAUAUACCCUUGAUUGGCUGCAUUAAGCAGAACAACAUAGGCUUAAAAAAUUGGAGUUACUGAUCACAUGAAUACAAUCAUAAGCAUUAUUUCAGAAGGCAAGUAGUGAUGAAGUACAUUCUUUGGGGGAUAGCUAAAAAUGGAAUAGAAAUGAUGAUACAAAUAGUAAGAUAUAUACCGAUCAUUAGUUGAUUAAACAAGACUUGAGCUUUAAUUCUCUCUUUUUGGAUGGGUGGGUACCGGAUGUUUUCGUGGUUGCAAGUGGAUGAUGUGGACCGAUACGUUCCACACAACUCCAACAUGCAGAACCCAACUUAGGCACACAACCUCAGCCUUAUUAUGACAUUUCUUUUCAUUUCAUGGGAGGACCAGUUAUUAAAUCUACCUUCACAUGCAUGUUCUGGGACCUGUACUGUCUGUCCUUUUAAGUAAAAAUAUGUACCGUGUUUAUAUGAUACUAUAACAUCCAGGGCCAAAGGUGCCCGUGAUUGUCUCAAAUAAUUCGAUAUGCCCUCUGGUGUGAUUGAGAGUAUUUAUGAAAACCCUAGUUAAAUUUGACUUGGUCUAACAUGGGGUGCUUCUGAAAACCUAAGUUCGAUCUGAAUUUAAGAUAUCUCCAAGUGGUCUUGUUGAAUGUUCAUGGGGCUUAAACCAUAGAGAAAAUAUUCAUUUAUUCUCUGAACAAACCUCUAGCUCCUGUAGCAGUCAUAUUAUUUUGCUACCAACUGAAAACUCAGUGUUGGUAUCUGGACCAUUUCCAAUAAUAUUGUUGACUCUUAGUAUACAAACGUGCCAGUGAACAAUAUUUAAAAUUGACAGUAUCUCAUGAAAGCUAGAUGUAAAUCUCCAUGGACGAUCAAACGUUUCUUUCAUGCACUUUUGGUGCUUUUCUUUUCCAGCUCACCUGUUACAUGGAGCCGGGAAGGAAGGCUUCAUCUUGAUGAUCACGACUUAUGAGCAAUCUCAUGUGCAGAAUACAUUAGGGGCCCUCUUGACUGAUUCAAGCUAGCUUUUCAGAUAAGCCUGAACUGGUGGUUGGCACUCCAAGAAAUAUCUAAAUUGAAUGGCGUAGACCUCGCCAUGGAGAUCAAGAUAAGAGAGACUUAACGCCUGAAACAAGUUUUAUUCUGUGAACAAGACUGGGUAUGCUUCGGUGUGUCCCAGGAAAAAUGAACUGACUUCUUGUGUUUUAGAAAUCAUUUGAAAGUAAUGAAUUUAAGGAGGCCAACUUUGAUAUCAAAAUAUAUUAGUAACAUUCAUGGCUACGUAAGGUUUCUUCUUCUUUUUUUCCAAUCCAUUUUUGCUUUGUAUAGAUGUACUCAUUACGAAGAACUGACCCUUUCUUCAAAUAUGCUACGAGGGACUGAAACAACGUGGGAUGAUGAGAUAGAAGAUAUUUUUCUUAAGCUAGCUGAGAAUAAUAAGCAAGAUUCGCUAAAGCCCUAGCUUCUUGGGUGAAAGGAAAUAACAAGAUAUUUUGUCAUGUCAGGAACAUGCCUGCAUUAGUUCACAUUAAUUAAAUUUUGAAAUAUUUAACAUGGAAGGGCUUAAUGUUAAGACAACACUAGUACGACCAUUAAUUGCUAUCUCCAUCUGAAAUAAUUGGAACUUAUAUCUAUACGGUUUUGUGCAAAUAUUAGAGACCAAAAGCACAAAAUCUUUCCCUCGAGACCAAGUAAAUCUCGCUUUUUUAAAUCGAAGGUACUCACUCUACGCUAAUUAAAGCUGAAAUGAUAUUUUGUCUUACGGGUUCAAUAUUUAGAAUCUGUUUGGUUGUAAUUUUAGAAAGUACUUCGAAUCUUUCUAAUAUUUUAAAAUUUUUAUUAAAAGAAUUGUUUUCAUGAGCCAAAAAGAUUAAGGUAGUGUUUGUAUUUUUGGCUUUUUGAUAAAAAUAAUUUAUUUUCAGAAUUUAGGUUGUUUUAGUUUUUCUACUUUUUCAUAACUUAUUAUAAAUUUUUUACUAAAUAGAAAAAAUCAAAAUAUAUAACUUUUUCUAAAUAGAAAAAAUAACAUAUUGAUUUUUCUAUCUUUUUUAAUACUUAUAAAAAUAAAAUAUUAUAAAAACAAAUAACCUAAUAUUUAACAUUAUUAAGCAUUAAAAUUCUAUUUAGAAUUAAGUAAAAAAAUAAACACCACCUAAAAACACUUCUUAAGUCAUUGGAAAACAAGCUCUUAAUUGAAACGAAGAAGGACGGGAUCAAGAAAUUUGUUUCUUGAAAAUUGGUCCAUUGUAUUCUUAAAAGGUUAAUUUCACUUGCUUCUCCUAUUUGUGAUGAAUAUAUUUAACUAUCAUAAUUUGAAAUUUCAUUAAAUGCUUCUAUUACUUUAAGUAGAAGGAAAGAUGAGUGAAAUAACAAAAGAGAAAAAUAGAUGAGGUAGUUGAUGAAAUUUUAAAAUCAUGGCAUAGCUAACUACAUUUAUUUAGCAAAAAUCUCAAGAAAUGUGAAUGAAAUAUCCUUAUUUUUAAAUGAAUUAUGGUCUUUUAAGAAACGGAAGUGCAUGAUCAGCGUAAGAAUCCAUUGAUCCCAUGCGUAAAUUAACCUCCGCCAAUUGCAGCUAUAGUUAAUUAAGUAACGCGAUGCAGAACAAUGAGAGUAGUGGCAGUUGUUGAUACCUCGCAUCUUUGACGAUCCACGUAGUUGCCAGAUGGAUGGACGCGUAACUUCAACUUAUAAAGGUUCUUGAUCCAGUCGUUAUACCUACAGGAAGGCAUCCGGACAGGGUGUCCGGACGCACCCUCCGAUGGUUUUGUUAGCCAUGGUCAGAGAGAGAGAGAGAUAUAAAUCAGUUGGCCUUUUACCAGGUAUUAGGAGGUUACCAGGGGAUCCUUUUCUUCUUCGUGCGAAAGUAUAUAUAUACAGCUUCAGGGGUACUGUUCCUCUCAUUAAUGGCGAGGAGAUAUUUUGUGUUUGUCAUGAUGACAUUUGGAGGCAGCAUGGUCAUCGCCACCCUACUGGCGGCUGUCAGAAACCGUGGUAGGUGAUGCUGCUGUCUAGAGAUCGUGGGAAGUGAUUAUGUAGAAUGAUCGUGGGAAGUGACUUGUUGUCACCUCGACCCGUCCUUUCACUCUACAGAUGAUGGGACGUGGGUCAUGGCUGGUUGUCGUGAUAGCGUGUAAGACUCACUUUACUUUAAUUGAUGACCCGGACGAUUAUAUCCGGGUGACACAUGCUAAUUGCCCGGAUAUAUUGUGGAGCGGAUGCAUUAUGAAGUUUGUCCGGAUGUCUGUGUUUUGCCAGCGACGUUUGCUCUUCCUUGGAUAGGAGGAGUUGAAACGUCAUUUGCCUUUCCUUGAGGCGGUCCGUAUAGGAGAACCAUCAUCAUUUGUAUCCUUAGGGGAAUCCGGAUGAUGAUGGUCCAGCUGGUAACACGUGCCACGUGUCACUGUGAGGUGCGUGCCACGUGUUCUCCAGAGGGAGGGGUCCCUACAGCAGUCACCCCACAUUCUGAUACUUAGAAGACUGUGGUAGGCCAUGGAGAGACAUCUAGAGGCUUUGAGGGCAUUGGUCUCUACAGUUGAAUAUUCUAGAGCAUCUCAACAGGUUUCUGGAACUCUACACUUCUGGAUUGACUUGGCCACACUUGAAGGAGUUGUAUUUUCAAGGUGGGGAUAUAAUAGAAGAAUUAAAGGUUUGAAUCAUAUAUAUAUGCUCCAUCUCUCUGAACGAUGCCUUUCAAUGUGUACUAAUUUAUCCGAAACACAUGAUAUCAAUUUGAACUACCCUUUUCCAUAUGUCCUCUUUUAUAUGAACCACAUGGCCCCUAUUUGAAAUCUGGAUCAUCAUCCCUGGAAAGUUCCAAAAUUUCAGAGUAGCAUUGAGAUAAAAACACAGAUACACAAGAAAUCCUCCUUUUUCCAAACUGAAUAGAGACCAAUAUUUAAUUGUACUUCAUCUUUCUUUUGAAGUUAGUUAGACUAAAAUGAUACUUUUAUGCCAUAAAAGGUAAUAAUUUUUUUUUCCUUAUUUUAUCCCCGGUUCAUCGAGCAGUACAAAUAGCAAAAAGUAGUAACAGUGAAGCCAAAUUUGAUAUGCAAAUCAGGCUGGAAUAGAGCCAGCUACCAACUGAAUCAGUGUUAAUAAUUGGGGGGCAGGCAGACAUGACUAUCUAAAAGGACCUUUCGUAUGCAUCUAAGAACUUCAAUCACAUGCAGUGGUCUCCCAUAUUACAUAAAGUCAAGUCAGACCGAGUUGUUUCCCUCCCGCUCCCUCAGUCACACCCCAUACAGCAAGCAUCCACCUUAUCUCUCACCAUUUAACACUAUAUAUAGAAAGCUAAAGUGCUUAGGAAAAGCACCUUUUGUUGAUCAAACAAAGCAAAGUCUAAGUCAUGACUAAGCUUAAAAGAACGAGUGGUAAGAGGAAGAAUGGCAUUGUAAAGCUUAAGAUCGUGGUAGAGAAGCUGCAAAAGAGCCUUUUGUUGGGGAGGAAAUCAGCUUGUGAAAAUGACGAGUUCAAAGAUGUCAGUGACUCAACCUAUGUGCCAGCUGACGUCAAGGAAGGACACUUUGCGGUGAUUGCUGUGGACGACGAUGAACCAAAGAGAUUCGUCGUCCCAUUAAAUUUUCUUACUCAUCCGACCUUUUUGAAGCUCUUGGAGCAAGCAGCUGAGGAGUAUGGUUUUGAUCAUGAGGGUGCGUUGACAAUCCCUUGCAGGCCGAGCGAGCUGGAGAGCAUACUGGCUGAGCAAUGGCAGAAGGAAAGGGAUUCCAGUGUUGGUGUUCCCUGGGGUUCCUGGAAAACCAUGGUUAAGAGCUGUUAGAAGAAGAACAAGUCGAUUUGAUUCUAUUAAUUCAUGGGAUCUCUUUCCAUGCUCCUGCAUUUGGCCCUCGCUUUUCUUUCUUCUGUUGGACCCUUGAGAUCUCUCAUGUGGGGUUUAUUAAAGAAAAAAAAAAUUAAUAAAAUUGUGAUAGGAUUUUACUCAAAUUAUUUAUUUUUUAUUUUGUAUGAAAUUCAAUAUUUAUCGAGUUUAUGUUUUGAUAAAUUAUCUUUUUAAGUUUAACAAUUACAUUAGAAAAGUAUUGUUUUAGGGUUAGUAUAAAGGAUUCCAUAAAUAUGUGGUUUUAUAGAAAGGAAAAAAAAAAAGAGUGAAGAGAGAUAGGUAGAAGGUGUAUUGGGUAUUAGGUAGAGAAAGGUCGAGAAAUUUUAAAUAGGAAUUUGAGGCACAUUCCUAACAAAUACGACAUUUUUUAAAGUAUUUCCAAACUUACAAUAACUUUUAUGACAUCAAUAAAAAAAUUUCUUUUGAAAAGACAAUUUUAAUUAAAUUUUGAAGUUGUUAAAAUUUUAAAUUAAAUUAUCUCUCCAAAAGAUAACUUUCAAUUGGUAUUAUGAAAAAUGCGUAAAUUAGAAAAUAGGUUAAAAAGUUUCAUAUUUUAAUAAAUAGAUUUUAAACUUGCUAUAUUUUUAAAAAAAAUUCCACCCCUUUUGCAGCAUGCACAUUUAUUUUUGGGUUACAUUACUUUUUUUUCUUUCUAAGCCGAAAAUUUGUAGUCUGUGAAUUUUGUAAUAAUUUGAUUAACAAAAAAGUAAUAUUAUUAUUUAUUCUCUCUUCCAUAUUCUCCGAAAGGUUUUCUUUCUAGUUGGAAUAUAUAUACAACUCACUUAGAUGGUAUUUGUUUUUUUGAUUGAAUAGAAAAAAUUAAAAUAUUUAGUUUUUUUUUAUUAAGUUAAAAAUACCUUAUUGAUAUUAACCAAUAUAAUUAAAGUGAACUUGUUAUCAAUAAGUUUAGUUUAAUUAUGUUGGUUGAUAUCAAUAAGUUACUUUUAACUGAAUAGAAAAAGUCAAAUAUUUUGGUUUUUUCUAUUCAGCCAAGAAAACAAACAUCGUCUUAGUUUUUGUUUGGAUACAAUUUCCUUUUUAUUUUAAAAAUAAAAAAUAAUAAUAAGUUUUAUAUUGAUAUAAAAAUUCUUAUAUGUUUAUAUUGAAAAUGUAAUGAUAUUAAAAAUUGUUUAAAAAAUUUUUGAAAUAUGAAAUAACUAACAAAUUUUAAAUAAAAUUAUAUUUUUUUGUACAAAAUAUUUGAGAAAAUAAAGGGCUAAUCUAAAUAGAUACAAACACCCAAGAGGGAGGGUGAAUUGAAGUUUAAAAAACAAAAAAAUAAUAAUAAUCUUUUUAAACACAAUAAAAUUAAGCACAAGAAGCACAAAUAUAAAGAGAUAAAGUUAUAAAAAGCAAACUCAGAUUUAUAAUGAUUCGGCACUUCCUUACCUACAUUCAAUAUUCUUAAACUCCUAACCGAGUGAGGGUUCCACUUAUACUUGAAACUUUAACCAAGCUUCUAAUCACUUUUUACACUUGGAUUCCGGCUUCAACGGGCUCUUACAUAAUCUCUUCAAGUCUCAACUCACUUGAAUGUUUUAACACUCAAUUAACAAGUUUGAAUCUCUCAACCUAGCUCAACAAUGGUUCAAAUACAACUCAAGGCUAAGAUGAAUCACAAAUGUGCACUAAAAAUAUGCAAAAAGGGGAACACCAAGAAAAUAAUAAGAGCUUUUAUGGCAAGAACAAGUAGGUAAACAAAUAAAUGCAAGUGUUCUCUUCCUCAUAAAUAAAGUGGAGCUCUCAAUUUAUAGGUUCUAACCUCGGGAGUCAAAAAACCAAAAAACAGCCUCGAUCAGUCGAGUUGGAGGGUGAUUGGUUCACUAGCCGUUGGAGCAUUAAAUGUUUGGUAGGUGACCGUUACCCUCAAUCGAAUCUCGACUAUGAAAGAAAGACUAUUGGAAGAGAGAUAAGGUUUUUUGCAUCUCUCAACCGAACCUCGACUAGGAAGGAGUAACCGGUCGACCGAUAUCCUAGCCGGUUGAGCUAAUUGACCAGUGCCUCAACCGGUUCACCAUUUUUUGCCUGAAAACCUAUCUUUUUCUGGUCUUUUUGCUUCUAAUACUUAGACAAUGUCUUUAGGUAAAAUAAUAUGUCAAUUUUGAAACGUUUUGCCUAAGGUUCAUUUGAUAAAAUUCGGAUUUUGAUGGAAAUGUAACUUUAAUGCAUAAACUGAGUUUUCAAAGAUGUAUGAAAUAAUAUGAAAAUCCUAAGUACACUCAUGCAUUCAUCUUACAUAUGUUUCCUAUGAUUAAAAAGUCUUUCAAAAGUUUUGAUCUUGCAUCAUUAGGUCAUUUAAUGAAUUUCCAAAUUAACACUUGAAAUUUUUUAUAAUUCAAACAACUUAGUAACUUAACCAUGAUUUGCUAUCAUCAAACCAUGAUUAGAAGAAUCCUUGGGCUAACAAUAUUAUAUUUUUAUAUAGAGGUUUAUAAUUUAAAAAAAAAAAAAUAGGACGUGUAUUAACAAACAUUGGUAGUGUUUGUUUUUUUGGCUUUUUGCUGAAAACAAUUUAGUUUUAGAAUUUAGGUUGUUUGUUUUUCUACUUUUUCAUGACUUAUUAUAAACUUUUUAUUAAAUAAAAAAAGCCAAAAUAUGUAGCUUUUUCUAAAUAGAAAAAAUAAUAUAUUGGUUUUUUUUACUUUUUAAUACUUAAUAGAAAUAAAAUACUACAAAAACAAACAACCUAAUAUUUAAUACUAUUAAGCAUUAAGAUUCUAUUUAGAAUUAAGUAAAAAAACAAACACCACCUUAAUUCUGAUAACUUUAAUUGAAAUACCACUAAAUGUGCUUGGGAAUCAUUUUAGAGAAAUGAAUAGUAUUGAUCAUAAAAUAACACCAGUAUGUUUAGGAACAUUUUGAAAAACAAUUCUCAACGGAUUUUAAAAAAAUACUCCUUUGAUGUUGAUCUUGAAAUAUUUAUGUUUUCAAAUAAUUAUUAUUUUUAAUUAUUAUUUGUAUUUGUAUAAUUAUUUUUAAAAAAAUUAAAAUAAUUAAAAUAUAUUCUUAAAAACAUCACAUUUUCAUAACAAAUUGUAAAAAAAAAAAAAAAAAUCGCUUUGAUGUGUCAAAAUGUAUAAAAAUAAAAUAAAAAAAACGCUUUGAUGUGUCAAAAUUAAUGUAUUUUUUAGAAAAUAAUUUUGUAUUUUUAAGAAUUAAAGGUUGUUUUUAAAAAUAGUUUUCAAACAGGCUACUAAGACAAGGGCAGUGCUAGAUUUUCUGGCUGAAUUUCAAUUUACCUUGCAAUCAAAAAACAAAUUUCAAUGCAUGAAUGUAUGUGGCUUUGCAAAGAAAUAAACAUAUACAUAGAUCUGAGCUUUUGAGUUAUUUUCCGCAAGACAAUCUGAGUUGUAUUCAUUAGUGGGGAUCCACUGCAUGCCCAACAGUUAAAUUAUUUAUCACAUGACAGCUAUGGUUGUAGUACUGUGAAAUGUGGGAUGUAUAAUGUUGUACCUACACUAGCCAUGUUGAGGAACACCAUAAUUGAACUUUGGAAGAUGAGACGGACACUAGGGUUAGUAUAGAUGUUUCUUCCUGCUUCUUUUUCAUUUUUCCUUGACAUAAAUCAAGCAAAGAAUCUUCAAUACUUGGAUACUUUUGAAAUUGGAGCAAUAACCUCUUUUAUUCAUUUUUCAAAAAAAUAACCUAAUUAAAACAUUUUUAAUUUUUUUUUAUUUUCUAAAACAUUUUCAAUCUUUCUUAUUUUCUCAAAAUAUCAUUUCCCUCUCAUUCGUUCCUUCCCAUUAUUCAUACCUAAAUCUCUCUUGGUUCAUCACUUUCUCUCUUUUAUUAGAUAUCCAAUUCUCACUCUUUUUUUCGGAUACCCAACUCUUUAUUUUUAGGUUUACAAUUUCUCUCUUUGUCCAUUUAAAUUCAAACCUUUAAAAAGAUCAAUGAACAAAAAUCUCAUCUUUCUUUCUUCUUCAAGAUUUUUCGUAGUUUUUACUAUUGUUUUUGUUGGGUUUUUUAUAGUUAUUUUUAGUUGGGAUUUUUUAGUCAUUUUGUGUAUCUUAAUCAAAUUGUUUAUAAAUGAAAUUUAACUAUAGUAUAGUUCACGUUAUCAUUAUGAUUGAUGACCUAAUCUUAAUUAGGUUUUUUUGCAAACCCGAUUUAACUUAUGUGAAGUUCAUGUGAACAUUUUUAAUGGGAAAUUAACCUUUGUAAAAAAAAGUGAGAAAAAAAAACGAAGUUUUUGUUUUUGAAAGCAAACAAACAAAGAGGAGUAAAAGGGUUCAAAAAUGAUCAUUUCUCAACAAAAUUGAAGAGAUGGGUUAUUUUUACAAUUUGAUAGUUAUUUUGAACCAUUUGUUCAAAUAAUGGUAAAGUAGCAAGUGCAAAAGAUGGGUGCUCCCCCUUUCUAUGAUCAUUAGAUUUGAAAUAAGAAUGUCUCAAUAUCAAACCAACCAUAUUCUUUGAAACACUCCCUAUUAGUAUGCAUAUAGUGUAAUAUCUCAUAAUGGAUUGAGAAAGAUUUAUGAUAUUAUAUAUUUAUGAACUCUUCUUGAUUAUGUAGAUAUGUUUUAAAGUUAUAAAAAUUAAUUAAAUAUAGAAUAAACAAUGUCAACAUAGAUGGAAGAUAACAUUACAAAUAGUAUCAAAAUCAAUCAUCAAUCCUAAUUUAAAAGUUUAUAUAGCCUACCAAAAGAUAUUUAUGGGACACAUAUAAGAGUGUCGUGUCUAUAUGGAGGGUGAUUGCAAUAUCCUAUAUUAGAUAUUAGAAAAAAAAACUCAAAUGACUAUAUAUGUAUUAUUUUUUCUUAACAUGUUAUAAAAUCAUAAGAACUCAUUAGACUCAAAUCAGAUAAUAUUUACGUAAAAUAAAAAGUGGAUAGUAAAAUAUAUCUACAAUUAUAUAUCAACCUUCAUGUUUUUUUUCUUGUUUGAUCAAGACAUAUGCUCCCUCUAGUUUGUACUUCAAACAUUAUAUUUUUGUCUCAUUCUUCUUAGUUGUGAGGUGCUUGGGUUCGUGUAGUCCUUGUGACAAGUGAAUGAAUACCGAAAUCUCAAGGGGUAAGUUAAAAAUCAUACUCAUCUAUUGAUGAAUUUACAGAUCUGUUGUUGUAACCUUCCUCUACUUUGUAUACAUUAGAAGAUAAAAGAAGAGAUUCGGAAGAACACUAAACAAAAUUUCAAUUCCACUUAGGGACAAAAAGUGCUCAAACUUAUUCUUUUCUACUAAUUUCAUCAUGGCAUUGAGAAUUCCACUGUUAUACAAUGAGAAGCCAAUUCAAUUUUCAGUUAAGUUAGAAGACUUCCAACUUAUUAGAUAUAGCUAAACAUCUAUCCACAUGAUAUGCUAUGCUAUCAAUAUGUUUGGUGGAUCCAAAAAAACAAAAAACAUCCAAACCUUUUUAGCCUAAUUGGCCUCGUGGUUUAAAAAUGGUUUUUUGUUUUUUAUGGAUCCAACAAAAUAGCACUAUUUGGAUAUUGUUUUCUAUUUUUGGUUUUUAAAAAAAAAUGAGAUAAAGGUCUAUUUUUUAGAGAAUAAUAGAAAUUAUUUUCACCAAUUUUAAAAAAUAAAAGGAAAACAUAUAGAAGCUUAAAAAAUUCAUAAAAAAUAAAUAAAAUUAAAUAUAAAAUCUUUUUUUUCCCUCUCCACUUACGAUUACCAAUAUUAAAAAUCUUCAAAUAUAUUUUUCCUUUGAAUUAUGCAUGUAUUUCUGAUUUUCCUUUUAACUACUCUAAAAAUUUUCAUUAAACAAAUAAAUUUCAAAUCAAACUAUAUUUGAUAGAUAAAAUUUAAAAAGUUUUUAAAAUAAUUUAAAACUCAAAAACUAAUUUAAUUAGUACUAGAAUUUUGAUUUAAUGUGUUGGAUUUAUUAAAAUGAGACUAGUAAUUUUUAAAAAUAACUUAAAACUCAUAUAUUGAUUUCAUUAAUACCAUAAAUUAUAUGUACAAAAAUUGAUAUAGAAUGAUUUUAUUAUUUCUCUUCUAUAUAUAACUAUAUUUUAUGAUUUUUUUUUUACUAGGCAAAUAAAUUUUAGAUUAAAUAAGACUAAACUUGUUACAUUCAUUAACGAGUUUAAUAAUUUUUAAAAAUAAUUUAAUACGUAAAUAAUUAUCGAAUUAAUACCAUAACUUUAUAAAUAAUAAUUGAUCUACAAUUACUCUAGUAUUUAUUUUCUGCACAUAAUUAUAUUUUUAAAAAAUUUCUCACUAAGGAAAUGAAUUGUAAAUCAAGUAGAAUUUUGUAUUAAAUUUAUUAAUAAAUUUAAUAAUUUUUUAAAUUAAUUUAAAACUCUAUAUCUAAUCACUAAAAAUAUGAUAAACCUCAUGACUUUACUAUUUUAUAUACGCAUCAAUAUUUUCUUAAGAAAUUUUCUCACUAGAUGAAUAGAUUCUAAAUUAAGCCGACAUAAUUAAUAAUUAAACUCUUGAUUAAUUUUCUAAUUUUUUAGAAUAAUUUAUAAUUCAAAAAACUAAUCCAAUUAAUUGUAAAUUAAAUCAAAGCAUUUUAAAAUACUUAUCUGUAAUUGAAUACUAAAUUUGUGCAUGUAAUAAAAAAUGACUUACUUACAUAUUAAAAAAACUUUAAUUGUUUUUAAAUUUAUUUUAAAUGAAAUAUUUUUAACAAUAUUAUUAUUAUUAUCCAUUUUUAAUCAAAAAAAAAUCAAUUAUGUUUUUACAAAAUGCUAAUAUCCAUAUUUUUAAAACAUAUAAUAGAAAUAUUUUUUUUUUAAUAAAAAAAUAUUGUUUAUGAUUUUAUUAUAAUAUUACUAUUUAUAUUUUAAAAAAUAUUUAUUUUUCUAUUUAUUUGUAAUUACAAAAGUAUUCUCAAACACUCUUAUUUUUAUAAAAUACUUUAAUAUCAUGGUUUGAUUUUCGGUACUGAUGGGAGAUCAAAUUUAAAGAUUUUUUGUAUCAGUGUUAGAUAAUAGAGAGAGAAGAAAAAUAAUACCAUAUUCAAUUUUAUCUAUUUUCUUUGACUUCUUUUAAUUUUAUAUAUAUAUUUAAAUAAAUGUGAAAAUAAUUUUUACUUGUUUUAUGAAAAUUGUUUUAUAUUUUACUUUGUUUUUAAAAACUAGAAAUAGAAAACAGCGGUGUUACAAAUUUUUAAAAACAAUUUUAUGUUUGUAAAAUAGAAAACCAAUUUUCAAUCAUACAAUCAAACAGGCUGUAAAAAAAAAUGUUCUUUGAUUUUAAUUAAAUUCAAGAAUCGGAAAACAUGGUGAAACAUACGCUUUUUUAGUUUUGCAUUUGUUUGGUUGUUUGGCUCUGGCAGAACAGGGAGCCAGGAUCCAUUCCCAGUUUGCACACCAUAAGCCCAUGAAAAUUUCUCUCCACUCACCGUGUUCAACUAUAUUUUCAAAUGCUCUUAUCUUAAGUAAACUACGGGACUUUAAAAAUAAAAGCCAGUUUAGGGUGAUCAUGAAAAGGCUAAAAGCUUUUUUUUUAAUUAAUUUUUUAAAAAUGGAUGCUUGUGCUAUCGGCGAAAAUUCAGUUUAAAAAUUAUUAUAUUUUCUAUUCAUUAUUGGAGAGUUGCUUAUGCAAUGUAUGUGUUUUCCUGACGAGUUUAAUGCAAAUUAAACUAUUAACCAAAAGGGUCCAAUUAUGAUAGAAGUGUAAUUUUUUUUAUCUAUCAAAAAGUCAUCAUCAAUCGGUACAUUUUCGAGUUUUAUUGUUUAUACCAUAAUUUCAUUUAUUUGUAUUUUCGUACCUAAGUCUCAUUUAUUUGCAUCUUCGUUCGACAAUCUAAAUCUCAUCAUAUAUAUUAAAUCAUACAUACCACUAUAGUAAGGGUGACAGUUUAAUACGAUUUGUCAAUAUGACAUUUUUUGCAGGUUUGGAUUGAGACUAUAAAUAGGUUUUCGUCAAAUUCGUAUCGACUUGUAUAGUUUGUUUAAUAAAUUAAUAAUUUUUGGCUCAAUUUGCAUAACACGACUUUAACCCAAAUUGACUCAUCUAAUAAUCUUACUAUUAAUUUAAUUAUAUAUCAUAUUUAACUCCUUUUAAAUUUGUUUUUAAAUAAAUAGGUCAAUAUAAUCAUAAACAUGUUAAUUAAGGCAUUAAUCAUAUUUGGAUUACAUGAGUUGAUCAUGUCAAUAUACAAAACCUAACUCAUGAGCUACACAAUGCGUCUCCUAUUUAAUAAUUAGAUUAUAUAUGAGUUUAUGCUUUUUACACAAUUAUUAUUCGUAUUGGAUUUAGAUUGAAAUAUGUAAUAGAAUACAAUAUAAUACCUAAGCUUUGAGGCUACUUAAAUAUCAUCCACCAACAUGAAAUAUCACCCCUACACUACUCUUAUCUCACCACAUAUCGUAAGACCGAUACUCCUUGUUUCGUAAAUACCAUUACAAUCGCAUAGAAUUUUCUUAAUUAAAAUCUUAAAUAUGUUUUAUAGUUGUUUUCAAAAGUAAUUUUGUAUUUUCAAAGAUUAAAAAACAAAAAAAUAUAUAUGUUUGGGAAUUAAAAAAUAAAAAACAUUAUUCUUAAAAACAUAAAAAUAUAUUAUAAUUAUCUUUUAAUUAUUUUCACUUAUUUUCUAUACACUAAUUUAAAAAAUAAUUACAUAAAUAUUAAAAACAAAAAGAAAACACCACUACAAAUAAAAAUUAUUUUUAAAAACAUAUUUUUAAUUUCUCAAAAAUACUUUUAUUCUAUAAAAACAUAAAAUAAAAAAAAGCAGUUUUCGAAAACAGUUUAGACUUAAAAGAGAGAAGAAAUAUCAUUCACGCAUCUCUUGGUUAUGGUUUAAUGACCAAAAAUUAUAUAUUCCUUCUAGUAAAUUUUCCUAUUCUUUAUUUCAGCCAAAUCAAAAGCUCCCCAAAAAGAUUGUUAAGACUAACCCAGCAGCAUUCCAAUUUUAUAGCAUCACCAUCACCUGACUACCCUGAAAAAUAAAAUCCACAACCAUACAAACAAGUUGAAGGGAGAAUUAGCAGUUGCAUUACCAAAUUUCACUUGAGAAAAAAAAAUAGGAUAACAUCAUAAUGGCCUACAACACAUCAUUCAAAGGGAAUGAAGCACAAUCAUAAGGAGGUUCACAUAGGCAUCUCGUCUACCAGAAGAAACAUUGUUAAAAAGGUAUUUCCUGGUUCUGAGCCGAUAACCAAGAAUAAUAUAAGGGCAGUGUAUAUUUGUAAAGGAAAAAAAAUUAUAUAUCACCUCCUAGUAAAUAAUAACCAGACAGGUAUCAAAACACAUCAGCUUGAAACAAUAACCCCUUGCCUUGAUCACUUGUGUUUGCCACUUUCCUUGCUUUCAUCAUAAUCCUCUGGGAGAUCACAUGUCCACUAGAUGCAUCAUUUACCAGUCGUGUAGUGAUAUAGAUGAUCAAUGUAAGCAAAGAUAGACUAGUACAAUGGUAUAAUGCUGACACAGCCUCUGCUAUCUGGUUCAACCAGACAAUCCAGCCUUGCUCUUCAGAUGCUCCUUAAAGUCCAUAAUGUCACCCUCCCAGCGGGUCACCUUCUGAUUCUCACACACCCAUAUCUCCUGAGCCACCUGGUUUAUGAGCCUGAAAUCAUGACUAACAAGAACCAGACCACCAUCCCACUCAUUCAAUGCUUCAGCUAGUGAGUCAAUUGUCUCAAUAUCCAAAUGAUUAGUUGGUUCGUCCAGCAGCAACAUGUGAGGUUGCCUAUAAGCUAACCAUGCAAAAAUCACCCGGCUCCUUUGACCAUCUGACAGAUUCUUCAUUGGCAUCACCUGCGCCUUACCUGUCAGCCCAAACUUCCCGAUUGCUGCCCUCAUCUUCUCUUCUUCAUUUCCUGGGUAUUCUCUCAUCAUGUACAGGAGAGCAGACAUCUCCAAGUCAAGUUUCUCAGUCAGGUGCUGAUGGAACUGAGCAAUUCUCAAGUGGUUGUGCCGCCGGACCAUGCCAUCAAUAGGAAACAGAUCCCCAGUCAUGAGCUUCAGCAAAGUACUCUUCCCAGCCCCAUUGGGUCCCACCAGAGCAAUCCUUGAGUCCAGGUCUACCCCAAAGUCAAUGUUCUUGUAAAUGAGAUUAUCAGGAGUAUAGCCAAAUGUGACUUCUACAAACUGCAGUACUGGCGGGGGAAGCUUUCCCACAUCAGUGAAGCGAAAGACAAGAAUCUUGUCUCUAACCACUUUUUCUGUAAGGCCUCCACGUUCCAUUUUGGCCAGAGUUUUUUCCUUGCUCUGAGCCUGGCGAGCUAGUUUCGCAGACCCAUGCCCAAAUCGGGCAAUAUACUCCUUCAUUGAAGCAAUCUGGUCCUGCUCCCACUUGUACUGUUUCAUCUGGUUCUCUUCCAGUUCAGCACGGGUUUGAACAUAUUGGUCAUAAUUACCAGUGUAAAGCUUCAGUUUCCU
RNAcentral lists this long non-coding RNA (82645 nucleotides) under Vitis vinifera (wine grape). RNAcentral's name for it is "long non-coding RNA (VVIN_LNC001934)". Lineage: Eukaryota; Viridiplantae; Streptophyta; Magnoliopsida; Vitales; Vitaceae. The record is from RNAcentral.